AUUUAUUUUGUUAUCUUACAGAUUAAAUGACCACAAACUUCUUCUGCUUGAAUCAUGUCAUUCUAAUCAAGUCCCUUCUGAUUUUUUAUUUUUACUUUCUUUCAUUCUCUUUGUUAGUCACCAUCCAUUUGCAAGUGCUAUGAUCAUUCACAAAUAAAAUUAUUUCUUUCUAAAUUAUUUCUUCUAAGUAUUCCUAUCUUCUGGUUCUCUUUUUUGUCUCUCAAAACAAACCUUGAGUUUUUCUGAAUAAACCACUUAAAUUUGCUAAUGGCGAUAUUAUAUUGCUACGUCUUCAAUUAUGGCAUCUAGUACACCUCCUCUAAGACCUCUGAAUGGUCAAGCCAUUCUUCAUGUCAUUUCUUACUAACUUGGAAGAAGUUGAACACAGAAUAGAUAGCUUGAAUAAUUGAAAAUAUAUGGAGAUAAUUGUGUUCUUGAUGGAAACUUAUGUUAAGCUUUCUGAUUUACCUCUUUGUUUCCUCAGUUAGCAAAUCCAAUUUGCAUAGCAGACAUCUACUGGAUAGGAUGACAAGACACCCAAACUUAGCUACGCAUUCUUUCUUCCAAACAGGGUGAUCAAUAGUGUCAAUUAAUUAGCAACUGAAUCAUAAAUUUUGUUCCUCGUUUCUGUCACAUACCGUAUACAUAACACUUGAAUAACUCACCCAUCUCAUUGUCCACAAAAACUUUCUUCAAAUGUCUCUUCUCCACUUACAAUCUCUUCAUUUCUCUCACUAAUAUAUUGUAUUAAUAUUAAAAUAAUUACUACUACGCUCGACCAUAGUAAUUAACGAUAUGACUCAGAACUACUCAAGAAUACAUGCCUACCACUGACUUGUUGAUUCUGCAUCAGAUUACAUCAAGAUCAAGAAAACCAAGAAACAAAUGCAUCUACGUUAGCCCUGAAAUAUUUCUUCCCCUUAACCAAGAAAAUCUUAGAGAGAGAGAGAGACGAUAGUUCAAAUGAUACCAUCCACUUCUCUGGGGACCAAGAGCGGCCCCCGGCGUCCGGAAGGAAGCUCUCGUUGACGACCUCCCACGCCUCCUCGACAAGGCCCUCGUUCGUGAUCGAUUCCGGCAGCACAUCAGUGGAGGCCAUCUCGCCAUCAUCUUCUCGACAGAGGUCCGAGGUGGGCGGCGGGAGAUCAACCAGCGACGGAAUCUCGACGGCCGCGGCGUCAAAGAGGGAAAGCGAGGCGGCGAGGGAGAAUGAGAGGGCACCGGCAACCGCCCGGAGAAGAAUAUUCUGGAAGCAUCGCGAGAUUCCCAUGCCGGGAUCGUCGACUUGCUGUUUGCGACUCUUGAUACCGAGAGUGCAAUUAAUGGAGUAGGGGGAGGAGGCCAUCGAUAGGGGCUGGGUUCUCGGUGGAGUUCGCGGUGCCGAUGGCGGCAGGGGGAGUGAGCAAGAAGAGAUCGACCUCAUCGUUAUGUUGUCCCGAGACGAUUGGUUUCCUUCCAAUCACUCGUAUCGGUGGAGUCGCGAAGAAAAAGGAAAAUGCCAGGGAAAAAAUUUGGGCGAAUUUCUUAAAAAAAAAUAAAAAACUAUUGUUUUUUUCUAAGAGCUACUUUAGUAAAUCAGUUCAUGGAUUUUAGAUGAAUAACAAGGAGAAUAUCAUCGGUUAAUCCUUACAUGACAUAUGAUAAACGUUACUCUCUUUCUAUUUAUCCACUUAUACAAAGGUUAAAGAUAAAGAUAAACAGUUAUAGGCUUUAUCGCUUACAUAGAUAAAAAGUUAACAAGUGAUUGUUAGAGAUAGUCGGAGGUUAUCUUUUUAUAAAAUAUUUCAUCGAUCAAAUAUAAAAGUUUAUAUUCAAUACAAUAGAAAAGGAGAUCACUUUUUGACCACUCGCGUCUGCACUACCAAUUUGAACAUCGAAGGGAUUGAGUUAGGAAAUUUCUCUUAAUCUCGAUCUUUGUGUAUGUGAUACCUCAAGAGCUCGAUGUUUUUACUUGGGAGGUAUCUCAAACAAUCCUGCACGUAUAAGUCUGGACCACGUAGGAUUGACUAGGAUGUCAAUAAAUUCUUCUUAUAAUAUUUUUGGCAUUAGGAGGGUUCAAUGUCGUAGAAGCACUCGCUUAUAGACCAUCUCAAUGAAUGCUUCAGUAAAUAUAUUUUACUCUUGAGCCACAAUACUUGUGCCCAAGGUUGGUAGCAACCAUUCUUUCUGCACAAAAGUGCAUCAACCUUGAUUCAGACAUUGAUACAAUAUUGACGUCUAUUCAACAACUCAAGCCUCUCACCUCCAGGGAUGACCCCGAGCAACAUACUUAUCCCCGAUAUGGUAUUCUUAAAUCUCACUCAAGAAGUGUAGAUACGAAUAAGUAUGAUGUAGGUCAUCGCUUUGCUUUUUCUCCGGUUAGCCCAACAAGUGAUACCAUUAGCUCGGCCAUAGUCACCAACUCAAUUGCCACCAACACUAACACUCAUCAACUUUGAAAUUCAAUGGAUCGCACCACCACUCUACCCUACCUAAAUCCGAGGCAUAAUCGGUGGAGUCGACGAAGGAUUUCCUAUGAGUCCAACUAUAGUAGAUAGACCAAUAUUUGGAGAAGAUGUGAUGAUAAUUAUAAUAAUAAAAAGGGGAAGUGUUGAUCGACCCCAUCUCAGGUUGGUUACUAUUCAUCCAAAAGAAGCCAAUUCCAAUGAAUUUUCGUCUCUUAUCUUUGGAGGUGCUUGAUGAUAGUGCUAACUCAAUGGAGCAUAUUAUAGCCUUUCGUGCCCAAAUAUUAUUGUAUGAUACUUCGGAUACCCUAAUGUGUCAUACCUUCCUAAUCACAUUAAGAGGCUUAGCAGAUGAAUGGUAUGUCUGCCUGAAGUCACUUUCCAUCAGUUCUUUUACUUAGCUCACAAAAGCGUUUGAACUUCACUUCAUCAUCAAUAGCAAUACUCCUUAAACUCAGGUAAAGAGAGGAAUAAACACUCGCAGUCUUCAUUAUUCAAUUCAUGAGUGAGAUUUGAGGCAUGCUAAACUUUUAUCAUUCAUAAUACAAACCUUUAUAAUGGGGCUAAAGCCCUCUCACUUUUUUUAGUGAUUGAUAGAGAGACCACCGACAACUAUACCAAAGACACUUUAAAUGAUCAAUCAAUACAUUGCUAUCGGGGCAAUAGUCUUGGACAAACGUGAAGAGGUCGAAACAGGAGUGGCUACAAUUAGCCCUGACCCCAAGGUCACUUUAGCGAAAGAGAAAUGAAUAACCCUAGUAACAUCAUCCAAGGUCCAAGCUGACCUCUCUAAAUAUGACUAGAAUUGAAUGUUUUCUACAAAUAAAAGAGAAAGUAUUCUUAAAAGACCAUCACCCAAUGAAGACCCUGUUGGCAAAAAGAGACAAGUUUAAAUACUGUUGAUUCCACUGAAUUACAAUCACGACACAAAGGAUUGUCACUACUUGAAAGAGUAGAUCAAGGAGUUGAUCUAUUGGGGACACCUCAGAUGGUUCAUCCAAAAGCAUUGAGAACCCUCAUUAACCUUAGGGACCAAUGGAGAGGUCGAUUAAUGUCAUAAUUAGUAGACCUACCCUAAGGGAGAUAACUCCUCGGAUCGUAAGGCUUAUACAUGAGCUACCAUCACAAAGUACUCAAGGAUAAAGAACUACCCGAAAAUAACCUUCAAGGGGGAAAAGACGGAACACCUCAACCUGAAUCAUGAUGAUGCUUUGGUGGUUUAUAUAAGGAUGAUCAAUACUCGAUUGAAGAGAGUCACAAUUGAUACAAAAACAAGCCUUACUCCAAAAUAAUAAUGACUAAAUUUAUGAUGGUGGAUAUCCCUUUGGUGUACAACGUGAUCAUACCCUAACCCACACUAAACAAACUAAGGGCAGUGAUGUCGCCCUAUCACAUGAUGAUAAAUUUUUCAAUAAGAGAGAGGUCAAAACUUGUUGCCUUAAAAUGAUAAAAGGGAUUGUGCUAUUGAGGACAUGCUACAUUAUAAAUUUAAAGAAGUUAUACCCUUAAGGCAUCCCUCGGAGUCAGGUCGGGAUGACUAUAUCUUGAGCAUCAAGCCUUGAUCUACUAUGUCUUCAACGCCAAUUGUAAAAAAGAAAAAAUAUAUUUUUAGGUUAUAGGUGUUAUAAGUUGAGAAAAAAAAUUACAUUACUUAAAAGGACUAUACCAACUUGGUCGAGUCUCUAUAAUAAGAAACAUUUCAUGACAUGAUGUAUAAGAUAAAAUAUGUCCAAAGCACAUGAGUCAGAAAAACUCGAUCCACGUAAGAAGAAACUCACUACGAUGAGAGGCAUAAGAUAAAAUGUGUCCGAGGCACAUAAGUUAGGAAAACCUUACCUAUGCAAUAAAAGAUUCAUCAAUAUGGGAGGCUCAAAACAAAAUGUAACCGAGGCACAUGAGUUGAAAAAACCUAACCCACAUAAUAUGAAACCUACCAUGGUUAGAGGCACAAUAUCAAAUGUGCUCAAGGCACGUGAGUUGAAAAAACCUAACCUAUGUAAAAAGAAAUAUGUCAUGGCAAAAGGAACAAGACGAGAUGUGUUCAAGACAUGUGAGUUAAGAAAACUCGACCCGCAUGAGAGUAAAUACAUUAUGAUAGAAGACACAAGAGAAAGAAUAUUCGAAGCAAAGAGGUCGAGCAUUGACCCACUUCUUUACUUAAAGUGCAUAGCCCACUACCUAACAUAACCCAUCGGCCUAGAGGCUAAAAAAAAAAUGCAGGCACCUCAAAUAGAGACGACCUCCCUCCGCCCAAGGUGGGUCCCUCAAUGAUGGGUGGGGCAAGUCGAUGAUAGGGAGCUUCGUAGCAUCCCUGUUGUGGACCCAUUGCCUACACAAUGUGGUUCCCUCAAUAACGAGUAGAAGAGGAGCCCACCUUAACACCUCCUAUAGCAUACCUUGACUCAUCUCACAUCUCACCUUGAUGACGAGUAGAAGAAGAGGGUUAGGUCAUCGAUGGGGGGCUUCACAACAUCCCUGUUGUGGACUCGUUACCUGACGUGGGUCCCUCAAGGACAAAUAGAGGAGGAGCCCACAUUGCACUAUUUGUCACCCACCUUAAUUCCUCUUAUAGCUUGCCUCGAUGACGAGCAGAAAAAGAGGGGCAAGUCAGUGAUGGACCGUCGCUAGUAGCGCCUCGCCUGUAGUCCUCAUUGAGCCAAGGAAGUUAAGAAAUUUGACGAUGAGCAUAAAAAGAAGGGUAGGCCUGCGAUGGAUCACCUCUAACAAUGCUUGCACCCCUUGCUUACGAUCCUCACUGAGCCAAGGAGGUCAAGAAACUCGACCUCCUCCUCCGCUCGAGGCGUGGUGGUCGGUAAACUCAUCCAGGUCAAGUAGAGAUGGGCCCACUCUACUCCCUCGACAAUGGGAGAGGUAAGUCGGUGAUGGAUCAUCGAUUAACAAUGCUCGCACCCCUCGCCUGUGGUCAUCAUCAAGCCAGAAAGGUCAGAAAAUUCGACCCCCUCCUUCGCUCGAAGUAAAGAGGUUAAGCACCUAACCCUUCCUUUUUGUCACUAUCGAGCCACAAAGGUCAAGGAACCAACCCCCAUUAUUGUCGUCCUCCAUGCUUGGAGGGUCGGGUUCACUUCGAACCCCUCUUGUGAGAGUCAUCAAAGCACAUCUUAGAGAAGAGACAAAUGAUGAGGAGAGCAUCGUCAGUCAAUCUUCACCUGACACAUGGCCUUCACAUGGUAUCUAAGGUGGAAGAAAAAGUCAAAGGCUACCCUUCGCUUCUUUGCUCACAUGGACAGGGUCCAAGACAAUCAACUAUAGGCUACAUCCCCCUUGCUACCCAUGUAGAUAAAAAAGGUCAAGAGGAGAUUGUUGGAGGCAAUUAGAGGUUGCCUCCUAGAAUGUUAUAUAUAAUAUUUUAUCCUUUUACAACUAGGCAUAAAAGUUCAUCUUUAAUACAAGGGAAGAGGGGGGAUUACUUUUUAACCACUCGUUUCUGCACUCAUCUACCUUAAGCUACUAACUUUGGGGUUAAAGAGAUCAGAUCGAAAAACUUCUUCCGACCUCGAUCUUCGUGUAGAUGGCACCUCAAGAGCUUGGUGUUUUCACAUCGAAGACAUCAUAGACAAUCCUACAUACAUACGUCUGAACCACAUCGAACUGACCAAGACAUCAACGACUUCUUCCCAUAAUAAUCUAUAUAAUGAAUCAAUCCUAUUUUUUAACUAUCAUAUUUUUAAAUAGAUUUAUAAUAUUUUUAAAAUAUUAUAAAUCUAUUUAAGAACAUUAUAACUUAUAUGAAAAUCUCUCUUUUAUUUCUAAACUAAUAAAAAUAAAAUAUUUUAUUUUUAAUAUAUAAACUAGUUUUUAUUGGAUUUUUAAAAAUUCAUUUGCUUCAAUUAUAAUAUUCUUGAAUAUACUUAUUUGGUGAAGGUAUAAAAAACAUAAUUAAUAUAGAAGUUCUAAAAUCAAUAAUGAUAAUUAUUUAAAAUUAUUAUAUAUAUAUAUAUAUAUAUAUAUAUAUAUAUAUAUAUAUAUAUAUAUAUAAAAGUUAGUUUUAUAUUAGAUUUUGAGUUAAUUUAUCUCAAUCGUAAUGUUUUUAAUAAAUUUGCAAUGUCUUAUUAGGAGAUUCUAUUAAAGAAUUAUAAUAUUUUUCAAUAAUAAUUGGACAAGAAACGUUAUUGAAAUAAUUGAAGGAGGAGAGAGAGAUAAAAGAUAAUAAAACGAAGGAGGCGAAUGAGAAAGGAGAUUGAGGAGGAGGAAUGAGAUAAGGCAAAAGUGGACGAGAAGAAGAGGAAGAUAGAGAUGGCGAAGACAACAAGAAUAGGAGAAAAACUAGAUUAGGAGAGCAGAUAGAGAUUGAUAGGGAGGAUGAGGAGAAAGAGUAGGAGGAAUCAGUUUAAUAAAAAUAAAUAAAUUAUGAAUUAUUUUUAAUUUUAACAUCAUUAGAUAUAAAAUGUGAUGAUAUUUCUGUUCAAAUUAGAAAAAUGGCACCCAAGUAAAACAGAAUUAGGAGGGCAUCAUCUUUAAAAAACAAAUAGUGGGUUUUUUUUAUAUAUUAUCCAAAAAUAAAAGAGAUUAACAUAUCCUCCACAAAAUAAAAAUAACAAAUAUAUAUAAUCUUCCAACAUCUUUAAAUUACUUAAAUGUUCCUGUAAAUCUGUUAAAUCUUAUAUUGUGGUUAACAUUAAUUAGCUUUGAUCAGAACACGUAUAUAUAAAUGACAAUAAAUUGUUAAAAUAGUAUAAAUAUCAAUUAUAAUUUAAUCUAAAAUAAAAUGCCAGUCUGCCAACGAAAAUUUAUUUAUAAGCGCAUUACAUAUAAAAUCGGCUUGGCUCCGGUUUGGCUCCGGUUCAUGGUUUGGCUCCGGUUCAUGGUUUCAGUAAAAUUUCAAGAAACGGUUUUCCACCCUCCGACAACGUUCCACAAAAGACACCCGCCCUGUUUCUGGGAGGAGCGGUGGCCCCCUGUGGGACGUGGCUUCCUUUACGUUUGAGGUAUGUGUGGCACUGUGUAGGAUAAGUAUUACCGCUAUAGCUUUUGGUUUUAUAUAGACCCCAAAAAAGAACCGGCGGUUGACGACAGUAUGUGUGCCGGUUCAGUUAUAGACCGAACUAAUUAUAUGUUUAUAAAUAUUCUUCCGCGCCCUAAACCGGCCCAUUCCGGUCGUCCUUUUAUCUUCGGGGUUUCCCUUUUGCCCUUUAUGUUUCGAUGCCCUAAUUCCUGACGAGCGACGCUACCCCGCGAUCGCUCUCUCGCCCCCGAGGAUCACACCUUUGCCGUCGAUAUUACCUCUCCGUGGUGGCGAGCCCUCCAUUGCCGUCGCUUGCCAAGUGGUGCCUGUCUCUCUAGUGCGAUUAGCUUGUGGUGCGUUUUCUUUUUCUCGAUCUUUUUUCUUCUUACUCUAAUCUGAUAUACUCGACAUCAUCAAACGUUAUCGAUUCAAUGAGUCAUUUAGGGUUUUGUAAUUCCUGUGCCUCCAAUUGAUGGAUCUCUUAUUUUUUUGGUUGCCCUUUGGAUGAUUUGUUGAUGCCGGAACGGCUCGAGUUCUGUGCUUGGAAAUUUUGGUUAGCUGCUCCAAUUUUACUCAAUAUUAGUUUCUCAAAUUUUUGUUUGGAUGUUUGAUAAAUUAUUUCGGUUUUAGAUCGUUACAAAAGGAACAACUUUUAAAGUUCAAAACGACAUUGCUGGCUUUUUGCCUUCUCUUCUGUAUAUCUAUGUUGAUUGGUGCUUCUAUGUUGUUUAGCAGCCGCUAUUCGAUUGCAGAGAAGAUACAAUCUAGUAGGUCCACCUUACGUAUUUCAUAAAUUCGCUUAUCACCUUUGGUAUUCAUAGAAUAACAGAUCGCCUGCUGUCUUUCAUCGAUUAGCAUUGCCGUGUUGUAUCCAGAGAGUUCUGUGUCAGUUUGCAUCAGCAUCGAUGGAUUGCAUAUGUUUAUCUAAAGUAUUAUGAAACUUAAUGAUACAUGUUGGGUUGGGAAUCUAUUACAUUCGUGCAAGUUAUUUAGGCUUUCUGGAUCUUCUGGUAGGCAGCAUUCAUGGAGAUUGAUCUCCUAAGAAAGAUCCUAAAAAGGAGUAUUUGAUUGUUGCGUUCCGGGACACACAUGAGAUACACAACUUAUACAUUUUUGCACUGGACUUAUUGGUUGUUAUUUUUUGUUUAGCUCACGCAUAGGUUCUUUUAUAGCUAUCUUUUAUAUGAACUGAGAUUCUGGGUACUGCAUUUUUUAACUAAUGAAUUAUAAGAUGUUUGAUUCCCUGCAAAAUGGCUUUAUAUCAAAAUGUUGAAGCUUCGAUUUGGUGCCAAUAAGAAUAUUGUUGCAAUUUCAGAUAUCCUAAGUAGGAGGCAUAUUAAUUAAAAAAUUCUUGCAAAAGUCCUUAGAGCUGUGCAUGCUCGAGGAGUUGAAAGUUUACUUGAUUGUUUUGGAUAUGUGGGCCUAAUUGUAAAUUUAUGGCCAUGUAUUAUCUGAACAUUACUUUUUCCAAAAUGUUAAAUGACAAUUCUUCAAUCUUGACCUAGCUUUAUAUCUGUUUUUUUGGGUUCUAAUACGUGAGGCCUCACUAAAUUUCUUUUUUCCUUUUAACAGAUUCCAUUCCUAGUAAUGGCAAGUUACUCAGGGAGAGGUGGACCAUCAAAUGGCUCUGUUUAUGUGUGUAAGUUGCCUCCUGGAACUGAUGAGACUAUGCUGGCCGAGUAUUUUGGCACCAUAGGGUUGCUAAAGGUAUAGGUCUUGCCAGAUAUCCUUUUGAAUCAUCUUCCAUUAUUUUCAACUAUUUGUUGUGUGUAACAGAGACACUGUUUUAUGAUUUCCAUCUAUAAUUAUAUAAUAUGGCUGCUCAAAAUUUGACAGAAGGAUAAAAGGACUGGUCGACCAAAAAUUUGGUUGUAUAGGGAUAAAACUACCAAUGAACCUAAGGGCGAUGCAACAGUUACAUAUGAGGACCCACAUGCAGCUCUCGCUGCUGUUGAAUGGUUCCACAACAAGGAUUUUCACGGAGUUCCCAUUGAAGUUUAUAUAGCAGAGUCAAAAACUAAAGACUCAAUUGAUAAUUCAACUCAGCAGGAUGGUUUUGAAGAAAAUCCAAUUAUGGAAGUUGGAGGGCAUGAUGAUCUGAAUGGUGCCGGAGGUAGAGGUAGAGGUCGUGCUGGUGCAUCAGGAAAAUCAUGGCAACAAGAUGGAGACUGGAUGUGUCCCAAUACAAGGUCUGUGGUAUGAUAUUGGUGAGCAACUCAUUCUUGCACUAUUAGAUAAUUUUUCUAAUUUGAAUAUGUUCCAGAUGAUGCAACUUGUUUUAUCAUUCUUUCUUUUGCUGGCAGUUGUUCCAAUGUGAACUUUGCAUUCCGUGGUGUGUGUAACCGGUGUGGGACAGCUCGUCCUGCUGGUGUUGGUGGAACAGGUGCUGGUGGCGGUGGUCGAGGAAGGGGCCGAGGUAGUGGUGAUGCUGGAGGAGUUGCCCGUUCUGUUGGUGGUCCCACAGGGCUUUUUGGUCCAAAUGACUGGCCCUGUCCGAUGUAAGUAACCUUUCUUGCUUUAGAAGUUAGUUUUGUCCCAUUUGAAAUGCUUUUUUAUCACUUAAUGUGGAGAGUAUCUAAUUUCUUGCUGAAUAAAAUCCAACUUUUUGAUAUGAUUCAUGGUGUUUGCUAGAACAAAAUACCUUUUUUUAGGCAUAAAGUGAUGUUCUGUUUUCUUUUAGCAGCAUAAUUUUAUAAAAAAAAUUCUGUGAGAAACUCAUUUGUUUAUUGCAGCUAUUUGUUAAGCUUAGUUUGACCCAAUGGUUGUUUGCUUUAGCAAAGGAUGUUACCACUUGACUUGGUUUGUAAGCAUUCAGCAAUGAUAUGUAAUAAACUAUUCCAGUAGCACUAUAGUUAUACGGAUAGCAUUUAUCAAUGAUUUAUUUUGACCCUUUCCAGAUAUUACACAUUUCCUAGUGCCAAAAAUAAUCAAGGAAUACACCAGAGAAUAGAAAACAUAUGCUUUUCCCCAAGCCCAAAACAUUCCAUUAGUUUCAUUUAGUUAUUUUACUGUUUGAUUUCUUACUCUAUGCACAGGGAAACUACAUAUUAUGGCAAUGUUUUUCUGUUCUUUUUUCUUUUACAUCUUUUGAGGUUUUACCAGCUCUGAUUUUUGCAGACUAGUAAGCUCUAAUUAUAUUUAACACGCACACCCAACAGAAAGCAAAUAUGGGUUAGAUAUUCUUUGUUGCACCCUUUAUGUUGGUCAACUGAAUUCAACACAUGAGAAGACAUCUUUAUUAACACUUCCCUGCUUAGAGAAUUUUUUUUGUUGUGCAUGAUAUGUCAUAGUUGAAAGCUGUAUCUUGUAUGCACAUACUGUAUAGGGUGUUUGUUGCUUUUUUGGCUACAAUGAAGUUAUCAUUGAAACCUUUUCAUAGUACACUGUUCAUUAAUUUUUAUAUAGGUUACUGCUUGAGCAAGUGUUUUUUCCCUUCUACAUAAGAAACAUUAAACCCCUGCUAAAUUGGAGCGAACGUCUCAUAUUGUUGGUUCACUGCUUGGAGAUUAUCACACUGUCCUGUUUACCAUGCGAAUAAAUCAUGAAUCGAUCAGUAGCACACUAUGUUGUAGAAGACAACUCUUCUCUCUCUCUCUCUNNNNNNNNNNNNNNNNNNNNGACAACUCUUCUCUCUCUCUCUCUCUCUCUCUCUCUCUCUCUCUCUCUCACACACACACACACACACAUGCACACACACUCACACUGUUCAUCAAACAGAUACAUACUCUGAAGGUUAUAGAUACUCUACAUGUUUUGCCUCUCACUGAUUUUCUGUGGCCGUCAACCUAUCACUCAGUGAAGUGUUGCUUUAUCUGACCCACUUACUAUGUCAUCAUGACAAGGCUGAUGUUCCAUUGUUCAAAUAAAUGUUUCAGGUGUGGCAACAUUAAUUGGGCAAAGCGCACAAAGUGCAAUAUAUGUAACACCAACAAGCCAGGUCACAAUGAGGGUGGUGUGAGGUAAUAUGAAUCAUGCAUAGAAUGGCCAUAUUGUAAGAACAUUUGAAACUUAUUAUUAUGGAUAUUAAAUGAUUUUUACAAUUUUUAUGUCUAUAUUUUACCCAACUGUUUAGCAUGUUGGAUAAGUUUAUAAACUGAAUUAUUCCUUGUUUGAUUUAUGUUAUAAUUCUUCAUACCAUGUGCUUGCUAAGCAUAACAGAACCGGAGUUGAUAAUGAUAAGCAUGCAAGCAUUGUUUUUCAGUUUGGCUUUAGUUAUGCUCCACUGAUAGUAAUAGUGACACAUGGAGACAGUCAUAUUUUCUUCUGAUGCCUGGGCAUUUAUGCCAUGCUUAUUUCUCGACCUGAAUGUAGAUGUUGUUGUAGCUUAAUUGAGAACCACUUAUGUAAUUUUGUUGAAGCAUUUUCUUGGUUCCAUUGCUUUAUUUGAUAGAGGAGGCCGUGCUGGAGGUUACAAAGAACUUGACGAAGAAGAAAUAGAAGAAACAAGGCGACGGAGAAGAGAAGCUGAAGAGGUUGAUGAACCUGUAACUUUUGUUGGUGAAUUUUCUUUUCCUUUUUACAUGUGUACAAAUAUUUCGUUUGUGUCCCGCAGGAUGAUGGAGAGAUAUAUGAUGAAUUUGGAAACCUUAAAAAGAAAUUUCGUGCAAAAACACAACAAGCUGAAGCUGGGCAAAUGGUUCCUGGCUCUGGCCGUGCUGGAUGGGAGGUUGAGGAGAUAGGUAACUUACACCUUAUUGACUAUGUAUCAUUUAUAAUGUUAUUUAUUACUUUUUAAAUAUGUAAAUAAAUGUUAAUGCAUGCUAUAUGCGAUACUGUUUAAUUAAAAUGCUUAUACUGCAUCUUAUUUCUUGAAGAUUUGGAUGUAUCGGCUUAUUUUUAUGAUCUAUCUAUAUCCAUGCUUUGAAGAUGUCUUUUUCCUUUUUUUGAUCACUUUUAUAAGGUGAUAUUUCUACUUUAUGUGCUUGUUGUACAUGUUUAAAGAAUAUUCGAUUCUACAAAGUAGAUGCUAUAAAAUCUUUCAGUAACUUGUAAUAUGCUUCUUAUGACUUGCGAUACAUUGAAGUACCAAGUUCUCAGAAUGUAAAUGUAAAGAGAUUAUAUUUACUUUUAUGUUGCUAAACGACGAUGCUACAUUCAGUCCUACAUUUGCUAGAGUUGAAGAGACAAGACCUUUUGUAGAAUUAGGACUUUUGCUCAUACAUGUGUUUCAAUACUAUAUUAACAUAUUUUAGCAUUUGAUGCUGAUGGGGUUCUAGGAAAAUAACAAAUAGAAAACUGCAAAAUCUGAUGUGCUGGUUUGCAUAAUAAUUUUAAAAUUUUAUAAUGACAUUUGCAGGUGUCUCCGAGAGACACGGUGGAGAGAAAAGCAAAGACCGUUACAGAGAUUUCAAUGAACGGGAAAGCAGCAAGAACCGGGAAAGAGAUGGUUCUGAGAGGGAGAGGGAGAGACGCAGGAGCCGAAGCAGAGAAAGGGAGAGGGAGCGUGAGAAGGAACGAGGGAGAGUCUCGGAUCGAGAUUAUGGAUAUGAAAGAGGUCGGGAACGUGGUAGGGACCGCCACCGAGACUGGUAGUGCUUUUGCCAAGGCUAGGUUUCUACUGCUGCGCAUGCCUUUAGUAUAUUGAAACUGUUUUGUGUCAUCUGUAGCUGGAAGCUUUGUUAAAAAUUUCUUGCUUGAACAUCCACUUUCUUCUUUCUGUUUCCCCCGCCCCCCCCUUUUUUCAUUUUACCAACUGAUGACAUCCUUUCAUAUCAACUUUUGAAGCAAAUGUUUUGAUUAUUCUAGUGAUUUGAGUGAUGCUAGACUAUUGCAAAAUGCAGGCGCUGAUAAAAAGCCAGCUUGUGAAAAGCUUUCUAGUUCUCGAAUGUAUCUACUGAAGGGUAGUUUAACAUUCAGGAGAUUGAUGUUCCAUAUGUAUAAACCUGCAUUGUUCUUACCUUUAACAUAUGCUGUUGUCUUCAGGGUGACUACAUUUUGAUCAAUGUCACUGAUGCAUAUGGUAGUUCUCACUGUAGCUAGAGACUCGAUGCAAUUUAACAUUAGUUCCUUUGCAUGUCAGCUCAACUUGCAGAGGGCACUUGGUAAACCCCUAAUCAGCAAAGCAGCGGCAAAUCUCCCCAGAGGAGGAUCUGAAUCAAGAGAAUUGAACUUGGCGAUUAGUAUGAAAUCAUUUUUGGUAACUCCUGAACUUACCAUGGGAUGACAAUGCUUUUCAUUUUUUCCUUACAGUUUGAUUAAGAAAUAAAUUAUUUUGUUGGCUAGAAAGAAAGUCCAUUCGCCUACUAUGCUGAUAAACAUUGUCAUUUAGAGGAUGUGUCAUUGAUGAGGGGAUGUCCGAGACAAUUGGAUAGAGUCUUAGGAUAAAGACAAGCAGUGCAUGUUGUUUUUGAGUUAGAUAUCAAGAGAAUAUAUGUCCCUUCAAUAGGGUUAUUUUGGUGUAGUUAAGACGUUUGGAGGGCAAAAAGGCAGACAUGAGUUAGGCAAUGGAAUCCAAUCAUAGGAUGUUGGCUUGCCCAAGACAAGUCAUAGUUUCUUUGCUGCUUGUUCUCUUUUCUGUGAUGGCACAUACGAACUUUAGAUUGUUAUCCAAGUGUACCAAAUUGAACUUUCUUCCCCCCAGUAUGCCUGAAAGAUACUGGUGUUGUCAGUUCACUUAAAAGAGACCUUCCUUGGAAACUGGCAUUUUAUCUUGUCCUGCGUUUGUUUCAUUUUGUGGGUUAAUCUUUUGUUUAUGUUAAGCUUGCCAUAAACAUGGACUGCACUAUGUACAUGGGACAUGUAUUCUUCUGGAUACCAAACUAGAUAGAUCUUGAUGAGUCCAAAACAAAGUGGUCAAAAGGUAAAAGAAGGAUCAAGGCCAAGAGACUGGUCAGCUAAGAAAAGGUCGUUCCUUGGACUCAGGCAAUGGGGUCCUGAUAACAGUAACAUUGAUUACAUCAAUGCUGGCAAUGUGGGAUGUGUUUUAGGUCGAGACAGUUGAUGACAAGGGUGAGGAGUUUGGAAGAACAAAUGUUUUCAUCUUAUUAGGGGAUGCAGAAACAUCUUGUUUCUUUAGGAUCACAGAAACCCAACAUAUGUCAGAGUAGUGUGGCAGCACAACUUAAUGAUCUGGAGGAACUUAUCUGUUGAGAACCAAGAGGGAGACAAAGGCAACAUAAUAAUAGGAGCCUGUUGGAUCUUGUUUGUUGCUUCAGCAUCUAAUAUGUUUGAAUCCCUGUCCCCUAAUUAAGACAAGCUCGGGAGUUAGGACAUUGCUUUCCACAGGACAUGUUGUUUUAUAGGUGACAGUCCAGUAUUAAUGAUGUGGGUGUGGUGAGAGACCUGAAAGAUAAAAGACUGAAGACCGACGUAGAUGAAGAAUGCAUGACAAAAGAUUAGUUUAGUAAGAGGAGCCAUGCUACGUAGAAAAGGAAGUAAUCUUAUGCUUGGGUAGAAGACAAACGGAGCCGAAGGCAAAGACAAAUCCUGCAUAUGUUAUCAUUUGCAUGAAGCACUUAGCAGUGCAAUAGGCCAAAGCUAUUUUAUGUUCAUCGAUUAUAGAACUAUAAGAUGCACUAAGGAUGGGUCAGAGGGCUCUGUCGAAAAGAGAACAAAGGUGAUGUGUUGGCUUGGGUAAUAAAUAAGAAGAAGAUCCAUGAGUGGACACCAACAUCCCAAGGCAAGGCAGUCUUCCCAGUGGAGACAAUGAUACAAGUAAAGAAGGUAGUAGAAUCCUCUUUAGUGUUGAAUGCAAAGUUGGCUUUAUCCAAGUGAUUUCUGCUAGUGAUUGAGUAAUUAUCAGACAGAUUAAUGGAGGCUGUCAUGAUUGUGCUGGUGAUUAUUAUUGUUGCCCAGUUUUUUUUUUUGUUCCUGCUCGUUAUUGCUCCAAUGCUGAUGAAUUUUGUGGCAUCUAAUGAGGCAAGUUUUUAGACAAACUAAUGUUAUUUUAUGUGAUGUUAGAGUGGGUAAUGAUGCUUUUUCAUGUGAUCAUUAAACAAUGAGCAAGUGGACGACUAGUGUUGUUUAAGAUAAAAAGGGAUAUAUAGUGCUGACAAUGGCAAUCGAGAACUUAAAAGCCGUCUCAGUACUACGUUAAGGAUAAAUAAGUUCCUUCUUUUGGGGGUGUGGAUAAUGUGUGGGAUAUCUGUUAGUUUAAUUUGAAUUAAUUUCUUACGAAUUAUUUGAACUCGAAUUAUGUUCAGUAAUUAUUUCUUACAACAAAAUCUGAGUACCAAAAAUUGCACAUUUAUCAGAGAGAGAGAGAGAGAGAGAGAGAGAGAGAGAGAGAGAGAAAAGAAGCAUUUUUUUUUUGCCUUCUUGAGAUAUAGGAACGCUAAAUUCGAACAAAGUAGUGAUCGCUUAUCGCACGGAUUUUAAAGCAUUUCAGUGGUCUGGUAGUGCUGCGGAGCAGAUUAAGAAGGGCGGGGAGGCGAUGGCCAUGCGCUCCUCGCGAUGGAACCUGGUUUGCUUCGCAAUGAAGGCCUCCACCGCACGCCGGAACUCCUCCGCGUCUUCCGCCUGCACCUCCUCUUCGGAUGCCUCCGUUGUUGUCGGUGGAAACAUGUCCCUUUUCCGGCCUGCCACCACCGUCUCUGCCCGACGAAGCUCGGGCGGUGGCCCGCGCCGCCGCUCCAUCCUCUGUGAACGGCUCUUCCGGAAUGCUCGCGUCUCGACGCACACGGCCUUGUCCUCGUACACCACCACCUCCUCCUGUGGCGGCGGAAGAGAGAAGGAGAACCGGAGGCCGCGGCUCUCGAGGAACUCGUCGAAGAGGUCGCCGACGGCCGCGGAGGAGGAUGAGGAGGAGGAGGAGGCAGAAGAAGUGGUGGUGGCUGAGGAGGAGGAGGGAGAGGGGGAUAGGUGGCCGGACUUGGCGAAGAGGAGGAGGACGAUGGCGUUGCCGAGGAGGAAGACGAAGCGUGGGCUGAGGAGGACCGCGGCGAGUCGGCGGAGGAAGUCGACGGAGAGGCGGGCGGCUGCCGGAAGGCGGGCGGAUAACCAGGAGAAGAGGAGGAGGCCAGCGACGGCCUCGAGGUAGCGGAGCAGCGUCCCGAUCUUUUGGAGGCGACGGUACCGCCGCAUCGCGGUCUCCUUCUCCGCUUGGAUCGCGUCCAUUCCCGGAUCGGACGGUCCAGAAUCAAUCACGACGAGCAGAACCUCCUCAGAAGCGGAGUAAGCCCUGUAUGAGUGAGCUCUUCGGGAAAGCGAAGCUCGAUGGCCCGUCUUAUAGGGAUGAGUGGCCUUUUGCCAUAUCACCACUAUAUAUAUAUAUAUAUAUAUAUAUAUAUAUAUAUAUAUAUAUAUAUAUAUAUAUAUAUAUGAUUGAAGAAAAUAUUUAAUUAUCGAAAACAUAAUUAAUUUAGACAAGAUUUUAAUUUAUGAAAACAACCGAUUAGGGGUGCAAUUAAAAAUAAAUUAAGUUCUAAUAAAGAGUCAAAGAUGAAUCUACUCCAACAUUAUUGCAUGCGACCCAUUUAAAAUGGACAAACUACUCGUUGCUCAAACAGCUCACACACCACAUCAAGCUUCAUAUACUUUAGACAGAAUGAUAACUACGUAUUAAAAAUAUAUAUUUUAUUUUUUUUUCUUAUUUUCAUCAACAAUAUUUUACACAUCUCUGAUCAAAAUGAUACGAUGCUUUUUUAACAUCGACAUAAAUGAGAUCCUAUCAAAAUUAAACAUCAAUAAGUUUAAUUUAAUAUUGGGUGAGUUUAUUAUGUUCGAUUGACCCAAAGCUGGAUUCCAGUGCCUCUCAUCGGUGAAACGAGUUGGAGUAGCUUGUACAUUUCAUAGACUUGAGCCACAAUUUAUGAUUCCGGAAUAGCUUUAUGUGAGAAGCAAUCAUUUUACGUAUCAGGCCAAGUAGAGAAUUAUCUUUUGCUCCUACGUUGAAGCUGAAUCCAAAAGUUCGAUCAAGAUAGAAUCCAUGAAUCAGUGAGUUUAUUUCUUGUUUCUUAUGUAGAUUAUGACAGGAAGAAUGGAUAGGGCUUUUAAUUCAGGAAAAAAGCUUGAUCAUCAUCGGAGUCACAGACAGCUGAUGAUCAUGACAGUGGUUCCGAGGAAGGAAUCUGCUGGGCUCUAAAACGCAUUAAAGACCCUCACCAAAUCCAAAUCUCAAACCACGGAGGCAGCAGCUAUAUUAUGAGGAACUGUUGCUGUAGAUUUAGUGUAGGUAUGUCGGGUGGAAAUCUAAAACCAACCCUAAGAGAGAGGAGCCCAUCCCAUUCCGCAUUUCUUAUAGUUCCCGGUCAAAGACUAGAGCUUGAUUGAUGCCAGAAAUCUGCACCACCUCUACGUAUACGUUUGCAUGGAAGAGGAGACCAUUGUGGUGUUGGAAAUGGUGGUGUUCACUCUCUCGGAGCUGUGCGCACGAGUGCAGUAUUGGAAAUGUAUUCUCAGAUGCGACUUGUCAAAGCAACCAGAUCUCUCUCUCUCUCUCUCUCUACCUAAACCCCUGCGGUGGGUAACGUAUAAACAAGCGCCUCCCGGCCGAAACAGUGCGAAGAAAUGAGUAAAGAAUGCAACAUCAUGACUCUCUGCGUCAGAGUUGAGGGGACCGGAGCUCGAGGCUGCCAACUCGAACGCUGCAGUAUUGACGCAGGUGGCAGCGGAUGUCCGGAAGCCAACCACCACCACCACCACCACCACCACCUUCCACUCCUCACCCGCAAGGAGGGCCGCCACCGCCGCGGCCAGGCGACAACUUUUGGCGCCUCAGGACGGGCGAUGUGGAGGGAAGAGCGAGAUUAGGUGGAGUGGAAGGUGGCAUUCUUUGUGCCAGUGGGUACUGCAGCUUGUGGUGUGGUUAUUGUGUUGACGACUUGUCUAAAAUAUCAUAUAUAUUUUCUUUGUUGAUAUUUAAUGCUAUUAUUUUUUGAUCGAUUUUCUUACAAAAAUAUUUUCUUCCCCGUUUUUGUUUUUUCAAAUCCAUCAUGUCCUAUUUUCAACCUCUCAAAAAUAUUCUGCAAUCGUCAACGUAGGUUGCAGAGGCAGAAGAAGAAUCCACUUCAUGGCAGGCUUUGGAUUAACAUGGCGUUGAUGCGUAAUAUAUGACGUUUGUCAACCGCCAUGUACGUGACAGUAAAAAGCUUUACGUUGACCGAGGGGGUACGGCCUGGGCUCGCCAUCACGGGUUUUAUUACCCUAAAUGGAAACUACUAACCAACGGCUGAGAUCGUCUUGGAAGGACACAAAAAGAUUUGAUCUAUUUACCCCAAAGCCCUUCAUCUUUUCAAAAAUUACCAACGAUGACUGACGGCGGCUAUGGUUCCAUAAAACUGGGCCGGUCUGCUACUUCAGUAGGCCCAAUACGGCCCAAUUAGUAGUGAUGAAUGGGCUUGGCUCGGUGCCUUUGAUCAAAGCGGGAAAGAGAGAGAAGAUGUGUUGGAGGAGGUAUAAGAGGAUGGGCAGCCAUGCUUGCUUUCCCCAUCGAUGACCUCCAUGUGAUCGUAUAAACAAAUCGAGAGCUUAUAGAGAAGAAGGGAGUAAGAUAUUCGAGCAGUUUGCAAUGAUACCGAAACAAGCAAGAACAGUCUCAUGAACAGCGUAUAGAGCUGGUGUUUGGUCCGAAGGGCAGGGAAGAAAACAUGAAUCCUUUCUCCCGUGAUCAGUCCAUUCGCCUACGAUGCUCCCUCCCGCAACAAUCCAAACGACUGCCUUCAUUUCAUAUACAUGCAAGGAAAACGAGGAUCCUUGGUGUUGCCGCUCGAAACAGUGCUGCCGUGCGAUGGAACCUCGGUGCACAUACGUGCUUGGCCGCACUCGUCUCCGGGGAGCAGUCCCAUGUGUGUGAUCUCUGCGUCUUGUAUCGUCGCCUCUUGUCCUCUUGCGUGAUUUGAUGGGCUGCCUCACCGCGGCCGCAGCUUUCCGGCGCAAAACUUCGGGUCACAGUGCCCCCAUUCUUGUCCUCGGCAUCUACGCCAGUGAUGGCUUAUUGAGAGGGAGCUCUCCAGACUGGUGUAUCGACUUGGGUAGUGACCCGAGCUCGGUUCGGUAGGGACAAGCAGAUCUGCAGUUGUUCUCAUGAUCAUGAUGAGGAUAUGUGCGAUGGAGAAGGAAUGUUUAACUGUCAAGUAUUAAUUGCAGCACCAAUAAACUCGAUGACUAAUUCGAACUUUUGGAGUUAUCGAACGUGGCUGACACAUGGACUAUGAGUGCCACAGGAUACGAUCAUCUGGUGAUUGAUUAGCCAACACUUUUAUUGCCGACCACGUGUGCCGCUCAGAACGACCUGCACUAGGAUCUGCCGGAUCCGGCGUGAGACGUCGUCGACGUGGGGACGGACGUACGGGUCCAUCCUCUCAGAUCGCCAUCGCGGCCGUGCGUCCGCCAGUCUGGCGUCUUCCCCCUCCUCGUCUCUAGCGCACCUAAUAGCGAUAUCCGCCGUCGAUCUACGGAUCAUCCGUCGACCACGAAUCCACGAUCAGAAUAUUCCUAAGAUUUGAUUUCGAAAUCUAUAAAUGCUAAAAUGAUGAUAUUUGUAGUAAAUAAUAUCUACGGCUGGAAGGCAACACUGUACUUGAUUGGGGCAUUACCAACGUGCACAGUGACCGACGUAUCGAGGACACCUUAUCGAGGCAUACGGCGACUCCACGAGUGCGUGCAAGCUUUUACAGCACGAUCGAGUUCAUACCGGUGCGUGUAAUAAAUCGGCACGGGAAGCCUGAGAUCGUUAAAUUGCUGCCGCGUGCGAAGAGAUGGUUGGAUAGAGGACAAGAAUUAGAGCAUGCAGAGGUCUCAUAUUACAUUAGAAAUCGUAGUGGUAAGAAGGAUUCCAAGUGCACGGAGAUUAUGAGAGGUGGUUGAGGGCGUGCCGUGAUGCAUGGGAUGAUGGGAGAAUUGUUUCGGGGAUCUGUGUGACAUGGGAAGUCUAGAACAAGUCGCCGGAUUCCAAAACAAACAAAAGAGCCACAGGAGCCGAUUUUAACGUGACCGAUCACAUGCCAAACGCCAUCGCCGCUAACCGCAGUUACACCUUUUGCUCCUCUCCCUCCCCUCUCUAAGUAGUAGUAGACCCGCUCCACAGCGGCUCAUUGCGUACCCACACACUCGCUCUAGAUUUCUCUUCGGCUCUCUCCCUCUCCUCUGCUCUUGUGACAACCCCCUUGUAUCUGUUCUUAAGGUGUGGGGAGUUGGCGUUGCAGUUGUUGUUGUUCUGCAGUUUGUUUGUUGUUGCGGUAGGGAAGCUUCGGAGGCAGCUGCGAUGGAGGUCUGCAGUGUGGGAAUGAAGGCGAACGUGUGUUUCGGCCAAGUGAAGAGGAGAAGCGUUGGUAGUGGGGAGAGUGGGAUUUGGGGAGAAGGGAUUGGUGGUGGUGGUGGUGGUCUAAAAAUUAAGGUGUGGGAAACCAAGGUGGUAAAGGGUGUGAAGAGGAGGAACUCGUUGGGAGCUGCAGUCGCUGUUCUCACUUCAGAUGUCAGCGAGGAGACGAUGGUGAGCGAUUUCUUGUUUCUGGUAUCCUCAUUUCCUGUCACUUCCGCUUCUAAUCGAUUCUGUCAUCGCUCCAGGUUUUGCAUGCACCGAUGUUUGGUUACCGGACGGCAGAGCCCAAGAGCGUUGCAUCCAUAAUACUGGGUGGAGGGGCAGGCACUCAGCUCUUCCCUCUCACUAGUACAAGAGCCACGCCUGCAGUAAGAAUCAAGCUUCCAUGUCUCUCUCAUGACUGCUUUCUUAUUGAUUUGAAUUGUUGUGCUGGAAUUCAAGUUCCUUAAACAUUGGGAUUUCUCUUCGAGAGCUGCCCCAUGUCUUUGCAGUUCUCGACUUUAGCUACGGUUCAUCCGGAUCAUGCUUGUUUCAAGGUUUCUGAGCCUCUCUCUUUGAUGCAAACAUGAAAUGAAUGCAUGAUUUUUCACCUGUAGGUUCCCAUCGGUGGAUGCUACAGGCUUAUUGACAUUCCAAUGAGCAACUGCAUCAACAGCGGGAUAAACAAGAUCUUCAUAAUGACGCAGUUCAAUUCGGCUUCACUGAAUCGCCACAUUUCUCGUACAUAUAUCUUCGGGAAUGGAAUCAACUUUGGUGAUGGAUUCGUCGAGGUAACAUUCUUGAACUGGUAUCCACCACUCUGUUUGCCAAUCUACACCGCAAUUUUGUUUGAUUCUUUUGUCGACCGGACUCAUUAGAAGCUUAUAGCAAGCAGGUUUUAGCAGCCACACAGACGCCUGGAGAGGCUGGGAUGAACUGGUUUCAGGGUACAGCAGAUGCCGUCAGGCAAUUCACUUGGGUAUUUGAGGUGAGCAAUCUGAUUCGGCAAACGAUAUAUUCAAUCAGUCGUAAUAAUUAUUCAUGUGGAGUUCUUUAUGAUGCACGAAACUUGGGAAUUAUGUUGAACUCUGGUCUCGCAUUUUCGUUCAGGAUAACAGGAACAAGAACAUCGAGCACAUAGUGAUAUUGUCCGGUGACCAGCUUUACCGCAUGGACUAUAUGGACCUCGUGCAGGCAAGUCUGAGCUCACACCAUGAAUUCUUUCAAGCCUCCUUUAGGAUUUCGAUUGCUUAGAUGAUGAUGCCUUGCAAUAUGCAGAAACAUAUCGAUACUGGUGCUGACAUAACAGUGUCAUGUGUGCCCGUCGGUCACAGGUAGAUCCCCUUUUUUUUCUGUCCUUUGUCUGCAGUAUUUUGUUUACAUAUGCGCUUGAGCAGGAAUUGUGCGGAUUCUUUCGGUACUGAUCGGUGUUUUGUUGUCUAAAAGCCGAGCAUCUGACUACGGACUAGUGAAGAUCGACAAGACGGGCCGCAUUUUCCAAUUUUCUGAGAAACCAAAUGGUGCAGAAUUGGAAGCAAUGGUGAAAUUAUUUGUUCUUGAGUAAUUUGAUGGAUAUCUGCCAUGAAAUAACCCACUGUAAGGGAAAAAAACAUUUGAUGAUCUGCAGAAGGAUGGCGGAAGCUUUCUCAGAUUGUCUCGUCAAGAUGCCAUGAAGUACCCGUACAUUGCAUCCAUGGGAGUCUAUGUAUUCAAACGAGAUGUUCUUUCCAAGCUUCUACGGUAAGAGACUCUCGAUCUCGUUCUCCGGUUGCGUCUUCCGCAUCUUUAUUCUUUGUCUUCUCUCCUUAGGUGGAAGUACCCGAAAGCAAAUGACUUCGGAUCGGAGAUCCUUCCUUCUGUUGUCAAGGAGCACAAUGUUCAGGUAACAGAGAAUGUUUGUAAGCACACUCUGCUCGUAGUUUAGAUAGAGGGGCUGAUGGAUCUCAGCAACUUGGCAGGCAUAUAUAUUCAAUGAUUACUGGGAAGACAUCGGAACAAUUAGAUCCUUCUUCGAUGCCAAUUUGGCUUUGACAGAACAGGUUGGUAUUAGCUUUCGCAGAACGCAUGCAAACUUCAUGCUGAAGAUAUCAUCUGAACUUUUUGUGCAGCCACCAAAGUUUCAGUUCUACGAUCCGAUGACUCCUUUCUUUACAUCUCCUCGAUUUCUACCUCCGACAAAGAUCGAAAAGUGCAGGGUAUGCCGUCAUGAACACUCACUUUGGCCUCACUGUCAUCGAAUUCCUUGGGCAUCAUGAACUAAAAGUUCAUACGCACAGAUUGUGGACGCAAUCAUCUCACAUGGAUGCUUCUUGCGGGAGUGCAGCGUGGAGCGUUCCAUUGUUGGAGUACGCUCACGUUUAGAUUUCGAUGCAGAGUUGAAGGUUUGCAUCGCUCUCCUCGUUUGAUAGAAUCGUGGAUUUGUGCUAAUUUCCGAAGGGCACCGUAGGAUACGAUGAUGAUGGGUGCUGAUAUCUACGAGACCGAAGCUGAAAUAGCAUCUUUGCUGGCGGAUGACAAGGUUCCGAUUGGUGUCGGACAGAACACCAGGAUCAGGUGAGACCUCGCGGUCAAACUCUUUUUGGCAAGAGCUUGGUCAACUCUAAGGUUCUUCUUUGAUUGAUGUCCAGGAACUGCAUCAUCGACAUGAAUGCGAGGAUAGGGAAGAAUGUGGUGAUAGCGAACAAGGAUGUAGGCACUCCACUGCAUCUGACAUGCUUGCAGAUGGAUUCUUUUCCCAUGCUAACUUGCAGAAAAAAUUCCUUUUGUUGCAGGGGAUUCAGGAAGCAGAUAGGCCAUGCGAGGGCUUCUACAUACGAUCUGGGAUCACAAUAAUCAUGAAGAAUUCUACCAUCAAGGAUGGAACAGUGAUAUAGAAUGAUAGAUUUGAGGUGUAAUAUGAAGAAUACAUAGAGGAGAGGAUGCUACGGCCAGAAUGGUAACCCAUGCUGUCAGGAUGGAACUACUCGGCUGAUACUACUGUCUCCAUGAUGUCUCUUGCGUUUUGCUAAUAACAAGCUGCAAUGAUGCAGCUGCGUCCUUGUAUGUAAUCAGUACGUUCUUAUAUCAUUUCAUCAGCAUCAUGCUCCUCUGUUCUGUAAAUAAAAUGAUCUCUAGAUAACCUAUGUUUGGUCUCAUUAAUUAGUAUCAAUGUGAUUCCACUGUUGCAUCUUGUUGAACAAUCUUCUUCUUCUUCUUCUUCUUCCAAUUUGUUGGUAUGAAAUGUGAUUACAAGCUUGAGGAGGGACACAAAAUCCAUCUACAUGCUGGCUGAAACCAGCAGUCAUCUUCUAGCUCAGUGUCCUGCGUCCUUUCUCUUGUUUGCAGCCUUCUAGUGUUUGCCUUUCAUGGCCUUUGCCCUCUUCAGCUUCGCAAUGGUUCGAAGUUUGUGAGACUGGAGGGUGAUCACUCUUGUCGUGGAUGGUGAUUCACCUAGAAUGACUUCAUAGCCAUCUCUGUAUGAAUCCAUCCCUUGAGCCAGCAGCUGCCAGAACAAGCUACCUGCGGUUGCACCACCAGUUCUAGCCGACAAAUAUACUUUGGAGUACACUGUUCUGAACAUUGCAUCCCUUUCGUCAUUGCUGAAGCCGGGAUCCUUGCAAGACUUUCCGAACUCAGUCACCAGCAAUGGCUUCUGAAGAACGUCGCACGCGUCGUGGAGGUGGAUAUCUAGCCAGUUCUUCAAGAAAGAAAGCUGCGAUCGAUCGUUCGAAUCGGGUAUCCUGUUCAUGUAAUACAAGAUCCAUCAGUGAAGAGAUGGAGGAUAUCGUAUGAAUUGGCACUGAUGUGAUGAUCGUAGUCGUUGUUACCAUUGGUCAGGGUAAGAAUGAACGGUGGCAAAAUCGAUUCCUGGAAUCUGGUUAUUGGAGAUGAAAUCAGUUCCAACUUGAAAGCCGGGGUUGGAUUGUUUCUGAGGUGAUGAUUCACCAUAGAACCCCUCGAGACCAGCUUCCAGCAAGUGCUUGUUGUCUAUGGAUUUCAGGUAGGCAGCCAUCUCUGUGAUCCAUUCCUAGGCAACAAUCAAAAUGAACGAAUCAGCUAUCAAUGUAAAACACUACUACCAAAUAGCAUAAUCCUUGAUGAGGAUUGGCCCCAAAAGCUUGUAGUUUCUGGAAACCUGUAUGCUCUUCCCUGACAAAUCUGAGGGGCAUCUGGGCUCAUUCAUGAGUUCCCAAGCAAAGAUUGUUGGAUCAUCCUUGUAGGCAACUCCAGUUAUGGUGUUGACUCUUGUGACAACAGUCUACAGAAUAAGAAGAAACACUUCACAAAUGCUAGCUUUGAUACAACAAGUGGUACAAAGGGUAGUUUCUUUUACUGUGUUCUUCCAUGUUGUUCAUAUGGAUUGGUCAUUUCUCUUACUGUUUCCUGUUGGAUUUGUCCAAUAAGAUCUCUUCUUUUCAGUUUGGCUCGAGAUUAAAAGUUAUGUUAGGAGAUAAAAACUGUGAUUGUUGGUAAAUUGCAGUGAUGACAAAGAAUUAGAGGCAAGGAAGAACACAAAAUGAUAUUGACAGGUAAAAGUAAUUCAUCAUAUGACCUUGAUAUGACUUUUGUAGUAACCUUUGACAACAGGGUUGGUGAAGAAUUCAUCAUCAGAUCCAAUGUUCUCCCCCUGAUCUCUUGCCCAUUGGACAUACUGCUUCUUCCCUCCAAAGCUAUCGUAGUUGUUAACCAAGCUCAAUAUGAGCUUGAUGCCAUAAUUUCUUGCCUCAGACACCACAAAAUCCAACCCCUUGACCAGAAGAAAAGAGAGAGAAAGAGAAUUCAGAAAUCAAAUAAGAACUGGCAAAAGCCCACAAAGACAAAUGAAGAUAAAAGGAAGGCAGUAUGAGACCUGAAAGAUCUGUUCACUGUAAGCUCCUGGGGAGUUCUGCAAGGCAUUGCUCCCUCCAUCGCUGAAAGCCCAAGUCCUGGCCACAGAGAGGCCAUGCCUGGAGGCAUCACUCAGAGCAGAGGAGACCUUGUCUCUUCGAGAAGGAUCUGAGGCCAGGGUCAUCAUCCAGUAGGCAUUGAAGCCAUUUGCAAAGAAUGGGUUCCCAUUGAGAACAAAAUGUAGCCCCCUUGUCUCAAUGAACCCUCCUGCAGCCUCAACACCAUGAUGUGAACCCAACAGCAGAAGCAGAAUGACAGAUAAAAGCCUCAGCUUCCUCAUAUCUCUCUUCUUCCCGCUGCUUCUCCCUCCCUUGAGAUGGCAAUGCAGGUAGAGGAAGCCCUGAUUGGAAGGUAGAAGUUGCAGCUGGUGCAGAGCACCCAAAGGAUAACCUGAGCACACCCAACAAGGGUUAGGUUUGUCAGGCCUCCAUGUGACGUACCUCGUAAAGUACUGUGAUGGUCAUUUGCACCUUGACGAAUGUACUGAACUCAACACAAACCAUGCAAUUUGCGUUGGCUUGGCAUGUUUGUAUUUACAAGAUUUACUGUGUCAGCUAAAUGAAAUCGCCGAUGACAUUCCUGUGUUUGUUACUUUUGUUUCUAUCGUAAGCGACGUAUGUUCUUUUAUGAUUCGUUGCUUCUCACUGGGGUUUGAGCACCUUUGCACGAAGCAGAACCUUUGCUUUCUUAGAUCUGCUGAUGAACUACUAAGGAAUCAGGAGACCUGUGAUCUACUGCACUUCUCCGGAUUCCUGGAACACAAAUUAAAAGAACGUUGGUUGAGCUGCAGAAGCGCAGGACGACCACGAGAAGGAAAUGGGUGUAAAGGUCAAUUGGACUCACAGAUGAGUAUUUGGACACGGAGGUUCUCUUAUAAUACCCAACUAAGUUGAUCGGAAGCUGCACAGCAACCAUCCCAUUCAUCGGAUCACCGUGUACGUGCACGUGGGAAGCACGUGACUUCCAAGAAAGCACGGCCAAUGAGCGAUGGUUCCGCAGGGUUAGCUUCGAGAUGCGUGUGAAUGCUUGAUAUGCGUCAGCCGCAGGAUUGAUGUCUUCCUCCCUUCGUCUCUUCGCCGCAAGUGGGCGACGGCCCGAGCUUCAACGGUUCGAUCGAACAGGCUUCCGUUUCCGGUCAGAUCUCCACCAAUAAGAACCAUUAAUCACCCAUCAACCUGCCUCGUGGGACCCGGGUGGAGCCCGCGAGGCCAUAUUACUGCCAUUGCACGUGAUGUGUUCGACCCGUGACCGCGCACAUGUAUCUCUGGGCCUCCGAAGCAGACUGCGGCGGACAUGUUCGACGGUAAAAGAUCACACGAGUUGCCCGUCGAGGCUUUCACAAGGCUCGUAUUUGGUCACCAUAGCCGAGGUAUCUCGGAAGACCUUCAUGCUGUCUCCAAUGUUCUUUCGCCUUCACUUCCACCUGCCCAACCUACAACAAAACGAUGAGAUAAGACAAGGAUAACCAGAGGAAGAGACACAAGGCUCUCCCUCCUCCUCAUCCUCGUCGCUGGGAAGGCCAUUCCUUCGGCUGUGUUCAAGAGACUGAGCAAAACCUUGCAACCGAAGGCUGAAUGAAGUGGGCCUCGAAGACUCAAGGUGCAAGAGGCGAAACGAGGAGGAAAGACGACAACGGAGCGACGCGGAGUGUCGAAUCCAGCUCCAAUUCCCCAGACAUGAUAUUAACUUGAUAUCAAAAUUCUUUUUAUCAAAAUGGGUUCUCAUCGAAAACUUGAUAUCAAAAUAUAAAUAUCAAGUAGCAUAAACAGUAGAACAAUAAAUCGAUCACACAAUAAAAUCAAAUCUUUUAAUAUAAAAAAUCCAAUGUGAGAAAAAUCACGAAACCAUAGUCAUCUCAAACUUUAACUAUCAAUAAUAAUGAUAACAGGUUUAUAAUAAAUCUUCUCUAGAAUAACUAGAGGAUCACAAUAACAUCAAGAACAUAGAUCUUGGCUCAAGAAUAAUAUAUCAUCAUCACAUAGGAUGGAUCUGAGAAUUCUAGGUCUCACAAAGUGGAUAUAGCAGGAAAGUACCUUAGAGAGGGUAAACCAUAGAUCAAUACCAUUAGGAUUAUAGAGCUUACUAUAAGAAUUCUCCGUAUAAAAUUUGGGCUAAAAUUGACAAUGUUUGACCACCGUUUGUCAAACAAAAAACUCAAUAUCUUAAUCUUUCUCUCUCCUUUUUCUCUCUUUCCUUUCUCUCUAUACUUUUUCCAACUGUAAUUCUUUCAUCUCAGGCACAUCACGAAUCCAGUGAUAUCUCACAUCAAUAUGCUUGAUCUAAAAUGAUAUAUUGAAUUCUUAGAGAUGUGAAUGAUGACUGUUAUAGUAAACAGUAUAUCCUUCUUAUUUCAAGCUCAAUUCAUGUAGAAAUUUUUUCAUCCAUAAAACUUCCUUGCAUUCUUCAGUAAUUGUUAUGUAUUUUGCUUUUGUGGUUGAUAGAGCAACACCAUUCUGUAACUUUGAUUGCCAAGAGACUACUCCCCCUACAAAUGUCAUCAAGAAUCCCGAAGUGGACUUCUUGGAAUCAGUGUUACCUGUCAUGUCUACAUCUGUGUAGCCUUCUAACAUAGGUUCAUCAUUGUUAAAACAUAAACACAACCUGGAAGUACCUCUUAGAUAUCUUAAUAUCCAUUUCACUACUGCCCAAUAUUCCUUUCCAGGAUUAGAGAGAAAUCGGCUAACAAUUCCAACUGCAUGAGCUAUAUCUGACCUUGUACAAACCAUAGCAUACAUCAAACUGCCUACUAUAGACGAGUAAGGCACUCUGGAUAUUUCUUCUUUUUUUUCUCACUUGUAUGAUAUUGUUUCGAACUAAGCUUGAAAUGACAUGCAAGUGGAGAACAAACUGCUUUGGCUUUACACAUGUUGAAUAUUUCAAGAACCUUUUCAAUAUAAGUCUCUUGAGAUAGCUAAAUCUUUCUUUUCUUUCUAUCACGAAGAAUCUUCAUGUCAAGUAUUUGUUUCACCGAUCCCAAGUCUUUCAUGGCAAAAGACUUACUUAGCUCUCUUUUAAACUUUUUAAUUUUUUCAGUAUUAUAGCCAACAAUCAGCAUGUCAUCAACAUAUAGCAGUAAAAUAAUAAAAUCAUCAUAUGAAAAUUUUUUCAUAAACACACAAUGAUCAGAUGUGGUUCUAUCAUACCCUUGGCUCAUCAUAAAGAAAUCAAACUUCUUGUACCACUAUCUAGGUGCUGUUUGAAUCCAUAUAAGCUUUUCCUAAACUUACACACCAGAUUUUUUUUUCUCUUGAGUUUGAAACCUUCUAGUUGUUUCAUGGAAAUUUCUUCUUCUAAGUCACCAUGAAGAAAUACUAUUUUCGCAUCAAGUUGCUCAACUUCUAAAUUCAAGCGAGCAACCAAACUAAGAACAACUCGGAUAGAGGACAUUUUCACUAUAGGAGAAAAUAUUUCUUUAAAGUUAAUACAUUUCUUUUGACUGAAUCCUUUCACAACUAGUCGUACCUUGUAUCUUUGUUGUGAGUUAUUAUUUUCAGAUUUUAAUUGAUUAACCCACUUAUUCUUGAGAGUUUUCUUCUCUUUAGGCAACUUUACCAAGUCAUAGGUAUGGUUCUCAAGCAAGGAUCUCAUCUCUUCUUACAUGGCUUUAACCCAUUCAUUCUUAUGCUAAUGUAAAAUAGUUUUUUGGUAAGUUUCUUGCUUUCCCCCAUCAGUAAGCAUAACAUACUUAUGUGGAGGAUAUCUGGUAGAUGGUUGUUGCUCUCUAGUGGAUCUUCUCAAUAGAAUCUCAACUAGUGGUGGAUGUGUUUGUUCAGUUGGUUCAGCAUUAUCAACUAUAGGAGUAUCAUCACUUACAUUCUCACUACAAUCUUCUUGUUCAUCUCCUCCAUGAUCAUCAUGAACUAUAGUUGAAGGAACUGGACCCAAACUCUAAGGAACAUAAAUAGAGGUUUUUGGCUUCUCAACAUUAUCACCAUCAUCAAACAAUUGGUCUUCAAGAAAUAUAACAUCUCUGCUUCUAAUAAUCUUCUUAUUCAUUAGAUUCUAUAAUCUGUACCUAAACUCUUUAUGACCAUAUCCCAAGAAGAUAUAUGCUUUUGCCUUAUUAUCAAGCUUGGACAUCUCAUAUUUGGGAAUAUGAACAAAUGCUUUAUACCAAAAGACUCUCAAGUGAUUAUAAGAUAUAUCUUUUCCUUUCCAUACUUUCUCUGGAACAUCCUCUCUUUGGAACAUCACCUUUCAAAGUAAUUGAUAGAAAAAGAUUUAUCAGGUCAAUUGUAGUUCUCAUAGCCUCCCCCCAAAAUGACUUAGGUAACUUGGCAUGAGAAAGCAUAUACCUAAUAUUUUCUUCAAUUGUUCUGUUUAUCUUUUCUGCGACACCGUUUUACUGAGGAGUUUUAGGAACUAUUUUCUCAAGCCUAAUACCUUGGAACCUACAAUAAUUCUUAAAAGGACCCCUGUACUCACCACUAUUAUCUGAUCGAACAUACUUUAGCUUUCUGCUAGUUUCUCUUUCAACACUGUAAUGAAACUCCUUAAAAACAUCGAGUACUUAAUCUUUAAAUUUCAAAGUAAAAGCCCACACUUUUCUAGAAUGAUUAUCAAUAAAAAUAACAAAUAAAAAGCACAUCCAAGAAUUCUAGUUUGCAUAGUACAAAUAUCAGUAUGAACUAAAUCAAUAACAUAUGAUCUUCUAGAUGAUGAAUAUGUAUGAAAUGCAACUCUAUGUGUUUUUCCAACUAAGCAAUGAUCACAAGAUUUAAGAUAUGUACCUUGCAACUCUGGUAAGAACUGCUUUCUAGCAAGAGUUUGAAGUCUCUUCUCGCUGAUAUGACCAAGCCUCUUAUGCCAAAGAUCUAUACUUUCACAUUUUUUAAUUACAUUAAUCUUUCCUUUAUGUAGCUUAGCUUCUAUGACAUAAAAAGAGUUAAGCUUCUUUCCUCUUGUUAUAAUUAGAGAACCUUUAGUAAGUUUCUAUUUGCUUUCAUCAAAAUAAUGCGCAAAGCCCUCAUCAUCAAGUCUGCCUGUAGAUAUCAAGUUAAGACGAAUAUUUGGAACAUAUCUGACAUCUUUGAGUAUUAAUUUGCUUCCAAUACUGGUCUUCAAGCAAAUAUCUCUACUACCCACAAUCUUAAAUGUACCACUGUUUCCCAUUCUGACAUUACCAAAAUCACUAGUAGUGUAAGAUCUGAAGAAAUCACCAUGAGAAGUAACAUGAAAUGAAGCACUAGAGUCAAUUAUCCAGUCACUGUCCUGAGCUGCAAGACUGAUACAACCAUUAUCAUAAACAAUAGUGAUAUUACCUUUAGUAGCAACUGUAUUAGUUUCUUUCUCAUUUUUCUUCAUUUCAUUCUGUUAUCGUUUCCAAAACCUACACUCUUUCUUCAUGUGACCUGGUAUAUUAUAGUAAAAACAUUUGAUAUCUCUUCUAGACUUGGAUCUUCCUCUAAAACCAUGUGGAUUUCUGCUAUGACUUCUUCCACGUCUUUCUUGUUUUUCAGUAACAAAUGCACCAGAAGAAGAUUCACCAUGUUUUUUCCUUCUGGCAUCUUCAUUUAGCAAAUUGUCUUUAACCAUAUCUAUAGUUAGAGUCUUCUCUGGCAUAGAGUUACAAAUUGUCACCACAUACGUUUUCCAACUUUCUGGUAAAGAGCUAAGAAAUAAUAAUCCUUGCAUCUCAUUAUCUAUAUUCAUUUUCAUAGUAACCAGCUUAUUUGCAAGACCCUGAAAUAGGCUUAUAUGCUCAACAAUAUUAUCAUCAUCUUUAUACUUCAAAUUCACAAGCCUUCUAAGGAGAGAAAUUCUAUUUCCCACUAUCUUUUUCGUAAAGAGAUUUUCUAACCUUUGCCAAACAACAUCAGCUCUGGUUUUAUCAGAAAUAUGCUCAUGCAAGUUUAUAUUCAUCCAUCUUCUAAUAUAAACAAUAGUUUUUCUAUGUUAAAUUUCUUAUUCUUCAUCGUCCAAGGUUUAUCUUUAACUUUGAUAGGCUUAUACAAAUCUUUGUAAUAAAGCAGAUCUUCAAUCAUACGCCUCUAAGUGGAAUAAUUUGAUUAGUUCAAUUUAAUCAUACCAUCUGACUGCUAUAUUUCAAUCACGCAAGAAAAACUAGCAUCAAAACACCUGUUGCUCUAAUACCACUUGUUAGGAAAAACCUGUUAAAACGGAAUAAUUUUUUUCCCUCUUUGUGUAACAAAAUGGGUUCCUCAUCAAAAUACCAACUUAUCGAAAUGUAAAUAUCAACCAGAGCAGUAUAAACAGUAGAGCAAUAAAUCAAUCACACAGUGAGACUAAAUCUUUUAACGUGAAAAACCCAAUGUAGAAAAAACCAAGGGACCGUAGUCCACCUCAAACUUCCACUAUCAAUAAUAAUGAUAACAGAUUUAUAAUAAAUCUUCUCUAGAAUAAUUAGAGGAUCAUAAUAAUAUUAAGAACAUAGAUCUUGGUUUAAGAAUAGCAUAUCAUCAUAGGAUGGAUCUGAGAAUUCUAGGUCUCACAAAGUGGAUACAGCAGGAAAGUACCUCAGAGAGGAUAAAUCGUAGAUCAAAACAGUUAGGAUUGUAGAGCUUACUGUAAGGAUUCUUCGUAUAAAAUUUGGGUCAAAACUGAUAAAACUGAUAAUGUUUAGCUACUGAUCGUUAAGCAGAAAACUGUUUUGUCUUUCUCUCUCUCAGUGCGACUGCUCGCGUUCACUGUACAUACUCGUUGAUCUCUUAUUUGCUAUCCUAUAUCUCUUUUGUCUUUUAAUUAGUGAUUUAGGCUCAAAAAACCUAAUUCAAUUGUCCAAGCCCACGUAUGGGCAAGACCCAACAGACCACGGAGGAGACGAGUAAAUACAAUAACGAAGAUCAGGGAGGGAGCAAGGAUAAGAGGUGGCGGUGUUACCGGGUCGAAUCCAUAAAGGUUCAUCCGGAUCCGAUAUAUUACAACAAUGAAGUCGCGGAUUCGUUAUGUUAUCGGGUCGGAUCGGGUCCAUCAAAUUCUAACCCAACACGUAGCUUUUCUUUUUUUGUGGAAAAGAAAUCAUAAAAAUAUCACGAUAUUUUUCCUUCUUUGUUAUGAUCACAACAAUAAGCAUUACAAAUCAACGAGAGACAGCAACACCCGAAUGCAUCAAAGCUGCUACUUGAAGUAGAUCGCAGGCGCGUCGGAGUUGGGAUGCCACGUACCGGCCUCCCUCAUGUACUCCAAGUAUCGCAAGAACUCCGGCGUGGCUGUUGCCUUCUUCGGUGGCUUCUCCAUGAUUCUGAUGACCGGGUGCGCCUUUAUUUCCCUGGUGGUGUUCGAUCUCUUCAUUUCGCUCACCGUCGCCGCCGCCGCCGUCGUCGUCGCUUCGUCGCCCUCGGCCAGGUCGAACGAGGACUGCCGGGACAGCAGGCGGCGGUAGCCUCGCCGGCUCCUCCGACGACCCGAGGCGUCCGACAUGGCUGCUGCAGGAGGGAGGUCGUGGUCUUGCUUGCUUGCUUGUUCUUCGGGGGUUGGGAGAGCUUUAAAGCAUGGGAUAUGGCUGAGGAGGUGGGUGGGGAGUUUAAAGCAUAUCCAAUCGAUGAGUUGCAGGUGGGGCGUCUCAGUCAGGAACGCUUCCUUGAAACCCCCCUUUGGAUGAGGUAGUCUGACUUGGUGUGCUCGACCUUUUGACCAUGCCUCGCCAUGGCGGCCAUCUUCCUCUCCUGGACGACAAAGUCAACCGAAGUAGACACAGCUUUACUGUACAGGGCAAGUAUAAAGACAAACUGAUGUGGUCUCACAUUUUUAUUCCUUUUGCUUUUAGUAGAAGAUAUGCUUUGACUCCAUGGAUGAUUUCUCACUGGGUUGUCUGUUUCUUCCUCCUCUGCCAUUGUAGCUUAGCUGCCAGGAAAUCAUGGAUGAUUUCUUUGGCUGGGUCUUUGAAGCACCAACCCCCCAACUGUUGCCAAUAUCUUUUUCAACCUAUUGCCAUUUGACCAAUCGACAAAUUUGGCUCUACUUUUGAUGAUGCAGUGCAAAAUAAGAGGCUUAGCGGUUGCUUCUUUAGCAGCUGAGCUGUGAAAAUGACUUCUGCUGCGUAAGUCUGCAUGCUGAAUCGUUCUUUAGUUUACACCUUUAUCCCUGAUCAGAAUAGGUCUACCAUUUUAGAGAGAUGUGGUACAAACUUCAUGACCAUGUCCUUACAAGAACGUCUUUUUCUCUGCAGUCAUUGGGAGCUUGAAAGACUUAGUGCUAAGUUGAAUAUGUUCCAAGCUUCUUAAUACUCUCAUACAUUAGUUUUGGAUGUUUAACGAACAUAGGAAAAAUUUAAUUAAUAAUGAGGCUAAAUUGUAAGUUUUCGUAUCGAGAAAAUCAAGCUUGUUAUCUCCUAUUGUAACUAUAAAUAAGGGCUUGGGCUUUGAAGCUAGAUACACCACAAGAAAAACUAAUUAUUUACUUUGAAUUUAAUUUAUAUUAAGUUCACACUGAGUUAAAAUAAUUUUAGCUUUUCUUGUUUAGUAGUUUCAGAUGUUUUAUGGCCUAGGAACAUUUUUCUAAUGCAUUUGUAAUUGUACCUUUUAUAGUAGAGUUUUGCUCUUCCGUCCGUGGACGUAGGUCAAUUGACCAAACCACGUAAAUCUGAUAUCCUUGUUUCUUUUAUUUUUUUGCUUUAUUGUAUUUAUUGGGUUGCCAAAUUAUUCUUUGGUAAAUUUUUUAGGGUCAGAUCUAACAAACUGGUAUCAGAGCCUGGUUUCGGGAUCUUUUGGCAACGAUGAGAAAUUCGAUAGAAAUAUCAACUUUGGUAUGUGACAGCUCAAGAUGGAAGCCAUUCUAGUUCAAGACGGAGUUGAUUUGGCACUAUAAAAAACUGAGAACAUUCCAGAUGAUACGUCAAAGGAAGAUCUUGUAGGUAUGGAUAAAAAGGUCUUAUCAAGCAUUAUUCUAAAUCUCUCUGACGAGGUUUUACAAGAGGUAACUACGGAGACUACGACUAAGAACAUAUGGGACAAGCUUAAAGCCUUGUAUAUGAAGAGGAUAGUAGAGAAUCGUCUCUACCUGAAGCAGAGUUUGUAUAUGCUUCGGAUGACUGAAGGUACAUCUAUACUCUCACAUUUUGAUAAAUUUGAUUCCUUAGUUAUGGAUUUGGAGAUUAUAGAUGCAAAAAUUGAUGACGCGGAUAAAAAUAAUAUUUUUCUAACCUUUAGACAAUGGAAGGCUUUGAUUGAGAAGCAAACAGGUAAACAAAUUAAACAGCUUCGAACAGAUAAUGGUAUGAAAUUUUGUGAAUGUGACUUUGAUGAAUUCUGCAAAAAUAAAGGAAUUGUUCGGCAUCGUACUGUUAGCAUAACACCUCAGCAAAAUAGUGUGACCGAAUAUAUGAUCAGAACACUCUUAGAGAGAGCAAGGUGUAUGAUCUCAAAAUUUUUGCAUCAAUUUUCGCAUAUAUAUUCUCCAAAUUUAUAACUAAGGAAUCAAAUUUAUCAAGAUGUGAGAGUAUAGAUGUAACUUUAAUCAUCCGAAGUAUAUACAAACUCUACUUUAAGUAGAGACGAUUCUCCAUUGUCCUCUUUAUAUACAAGGUUUUAAGCUUGUCUCACAUGCUCUUAGCCGUAGUCUCCGUAGCUACCUCCCGUAAAACCUCGUCAGAGAGAUUUAGAAUAAUGCUUGAACGGGCCUUCUUAUCUAUACCCGUAAGAUCUUCCUUUGAUGCAUAAUCUGGAAUGUUCUCAGCUUGUUGUAGUGUCAAAUCAACUCCGUCUUGAACUAGAAUGACCUCCAUCUUGAGCUGCUACAUGCCAAAAUUAACAUUUCUGUCGAAUUUCUCGACAACAAUCUUUGUUAUUGUCAUCGUUACCAAAAGAUCUCGAAACCAAGCUCUGAUACCAGUUUGUUAGAGCUGGCCCCAAGAAAUUUACCAAAGGAUAAUUUGACAACCUAAUAAAGACAAUAAAGCAGAAAAAUAAAAGAGACAAGGACACUGGAUUUACAUGGUUCGGUCAAUUGACCUACGUCCACGGACAGAGGAGCAAAACUCUACUAUAAAAGGGACAAUUACAAAUACCUUAGAAAAAUGUUCCUAGGUCAUAAAACACCUGAAACUACUAAACAGGAAAAGCCUAAAUUAUAAACCCAAACUAUUUUAACUAAGUGUGGACUUAAUAUAAAUUAAACCCAAAGCAAACAAUUAGGUUUUUCUUAUAGUGCAUCUGACUUCAAAGCCCAUGCCCUUAUUUAUAAUUACAAUAGGAGAUAACAAGCUUGAUUUUUUCGAUGUGGGACUAUAUCACCAUAAUAGUAAUAAGUAUUUAUCAAAUCAUUGGUAUCUCUCGGGUCACAUUUUGUUUAAAUAAGAAAAAGUAUACGUGAAAAUUAGGAUCGAUUUUACGUAAUGCCAAAAGAAAAUUAGGAUCGAUUUUACGUAAUACUAGAGGAAUCAUUACCGCAUGGCAUAGAGGGGGAGGUCAUAAGUGUCUAUAACGUAAAAUCGAUUUUCAACCUAUUGUUGCCAUUUGACCGAUCGACAUAUUUGGCUCUGCUUUUGAUGAUGCAGUGCAAAAUAAGAGGCUUAGCGGUUGCUUCUUUAGCAGCUGAGCUGUGAAAAUUACUUCUGCUGCAUAAGUCUGCAUGCCGAAUCGUUCUUUAGUUUACGCCUUUAUCCCUGACCAGAAUAGGUCUACCAUUUUAGAGAGAUGUGGUACAAACUUCAUGACCAUGUCCUUACAAGAACGUCUUUUUCUUGGGAGCGCUUGAAAGACUUAGUGCUAAGUUGAAUCUGUUCCAAGCUUCUUAAUACUCUCAUACAUUAGUUUUGGAUGUUUAAUGGACAUAGGAAAGAUUUAAUUAAUAAUGAGGCUAAAUUGCAUGACUAUAUCACCAUAAUAAUGUUAGUUUGACAAGUUUCCUAUUGUAACUAUAAAUAAGGGUCUGGGAUUUGAAGCCAGAUACAUCACAAGAAAAACUAAUUAUUUACUUUGGGUUUAAUUUCUAUUAAAUUCACACUUAGUUAAAAUAGUUUGGACUUUUCUUGUUUAUUAGUUUCAGGUGUUUUAUGACCUAGGAACAUUUUCCUAAGGCAUUUGUAAUUGUUCCUUUUAUAGUAUAGUUUUGCUCCUCCGUUCGUGGACGUAGGUCAAUUGACCGAACCACGUAAAUCUAGUAUCCUUGUUUCUUUUAUUUUUCUGCUUUAUUAUAUUUAUUGGGUUGCCAAAUUAUUCUUUGAUAAAUUUUCUAGGGUCAGUUCUAACAAAUUGGUAACAAAGCCUGAUUUUGGGAUCUUUUGGCAAUGAUAAGAAAUUCGAUAGAAAUGUCAACUUUGGUAUGUGACAACUCAAGAUGGAGGUCAUUCUAGUUUAAGACAGAGUUGUUUUGACACUACAGAAAACUAAGAACAUUCCAGAUGAUACGUCAAAGGAAGAACUUGCAGGUAUGGAUAAAAAGACCCGAUCCAGCAUUAUUCUAAAUCUCUCUGACGAGAUUUUACAAGAGGUAACUACGGAGACUACGACUAAGAACAUGUGAGAUAAGCUUAAAGCCUUGUAAAUGAAUAGGACAGUGGAGAAUCGUCUCUACUUGAAGCAGAGUUUGUAUAUGCUUCGGAUGACUGAAGGUACAUCUAUACUCUCACAUUUUGAUAAAUUUGAUUCCUUGGUUAUGGAUUUGGAGAAUAUAGAUGCGAAAAUUGAUGACGCGGAUAAAAAUAAUAUUUUUCUAACCUUUAGACAAUGGAAGGCUUUGAUUAAGAAGCAAAUAGGUAAACAGAUUAAGCAGCUUCGAACAGAUAAUAGUAUGAAAUUUUGUGAAGGUGACUUUGAUGAAUUCUGCAAAAAUGAAGGAAUUGUUCGGCAUCGCACUGUUAGGAUGACGCCUCAGCAAAAUAAUGUGGCCGAACAUAUGAACAGAACACUUUUAGAGAGAGUAAGGUGUAUGAUCUCAAAAUUUUUGUAUCAAUUUUCCAUCUAUAUUCUUCAAAUCUAUAACUAAGAAAUCAAAUUUAUCAAGAUGUGAGAGUAUAUAUGUAUCUUCAAUCAUCCGAAGUAUAUACAAACUCUGCUUCAAGUAGAGACGAUUCUCCAUUGUCCUCUUUAUAUACAAGGCUUGAUCGGACCUUCUUAUCUAUACCCGCAAGAUCUUCUUUUGAUGUAUCAUCUGGAAUGUUCUCAGCUUUUUGUAGUGCUGACCUCAGGAAAUUUACCAAAGGAUAAUAUGACAACCCAAUAAAGACAAUAAAGCAGAAAAAUAAAAAAGACAAGGACACCAGAUUUACAUACUUCGAUCAAUUGACCUACGUCCACGGAAAGAGGAGGAUCAAAACUCUACUAUAAAAAGGAUAAUUACAAAUGCCUUAGAAAAAUGUUCCUAGGCCAUAAACUAUAAGCCUAAAUUAUAAGCCUAAACUAUUUUAACUAAUUGUUGUGGUGCAUCUGACUUCAAAGCCUAGGCCCUUAUUUAUAAUUGUAAUAGGAGAUAACAAACUUGAUUUUUCCGAUGUGGGACUAUGUGGGACUAUAUCACUAUAAUAGUAAUAAGUAUUUAUCAAAUCAUUGGUAUCUCUCGGGUCACAUUUUGUUUAAAUAAGGAAAAGUAAACGUGAAAAUUAGGAUCGAUUUUACAUAAUGCCAGAGGAAAAUUAGGAUCGAUUUUACGUAAUGCCAGAGGAAUCAUUACCUCAUGGCAUAGAGGGGGAGGUCAUAAGUGUCUAUACUAUAAAAUCGAUUUUCGACGGAAUGAAAAAGACAUAUCUGGUAGAAUCGUAACCAUAGAAUACGACCCUAAUCGAAAUGCAUACAUUUGUCUCAUACACUAUGGGAUGGUGAGAAGAGAUAUAUUUUACAUCCUAGAGGGUUAUAAUUGGAGAUACCAUUGUUUCUGGUACAGAAGUUCCUAUAUCAAUGGGAAAUGCCCUACCGAGUGUGGUUUGAUUUAUUGAUUUACGUAAUUGGAAGUAACCAAUUAGGUUUACGACGAAACCUAGAAAUCGAUCACUGAUCCAAUUUGAGUACCUCUACGGGAUAGACCUCAACAGAAAACUGUUGAGUAACGGCAGCAAGUGAUUGAGUUCAGUAGUUCCUCAUAGAAAAUUAUUGACUCUAGAGAUAUGGUAAUAUGGAGAAGACAAAAUUGUUUGAAGCACGCACAUAACAUAAGCUACAUGAAGAACAAUGGUAAUUAAGAUCCCCCAUGGGGAAAAGAGAGAUGUCUCCUACGUUACCCGUAAUAUGUGGAAGUAUCGACGUAAUUUCAUAGAGUCAUUCGGUCUGAAUGCUACAUGAAGAACAUAAGCCAGAUGACGGAACGGGGAGACCUAGGAUGUAGAAGAUCACAUGAGUGAUUCAGCAGAUUUGGAUUCCUAUAUAUCCACUCAUGUGGUACUUCAUCAUACGAUUUAUAUAAGAUCCAUCUGUCUAGAUAUCAUCAUGUACAUCUAGAAAGCUAAUGAAUAUGCUUGUGUAGGAAUUGAAGAAUUUCGAAUAUUUAGAAAUCAAUAACCUAAAAAUAUAUCUAUAAAAAAAUUAAAUCUUUUAAUAUGUGAGAUUAAUUAUAAAACCUUAAAUUAUCAUCACUCACUUCCUUAUAAAUUUUCUCAUAUAAAUCCUAAAAAAAUUACACCCUUUCUCUCACCCUAUAGAGAGUACCUUAUCAUAGAGAGAGAAAUAUAAAAGCAUCAAAAGUAUUUUUUAUAUUUUAUGAGAUGUUCAUAUAAGAACACAAUCUUAAUUAUUAAGAUUUUUUUCCUUCACAAGAAAUUCCUUGUAUUAAUUAUCCCAUUGAGAUAUUGACGAAUCCCAACAUUCAUGUGAUACAUAAUUGACCACAUCAAGCUCAAUUCGAACUAAUUUCAUAUGCAUUGCACUAAUAAAAUCAUAUUAACAAAUAUUAUUUAAGAUAAUCAGUUAUAUUAAUAACUAAUUUUAAAAUACUUACAAAUCUCAACACUCAUGUAGAAUAAUAACCUAAAGCAUGGAUACACAAUUGACCAUAUCAAGUUCGAUACAAAUUAAUUUACACUAAUAAAAUCAUAUUAACAAAUCUAAUUUGAACUAAACAAAUAAAUUAGUGAACAUACUAUCCAAAAUGAAAUGAUAACAUAGAACAACACGGAUAUCAAUUUAAGAUAAACAAAGAUAAUCUCAUACCAUCAUCACUUUCUUUGCUUCUACCCCAAAUACAUACAAAUCCUCACGUAAGCGAACUCACGUUAUAAAGGACUACUUAAUCAAAUAAUAAUAAGAUUAAUAUCUUAGCAGAAAACCCCAAUAAACAUGAAAACCCAAUAAACAGACUUCACUGACCUUCUUCUGCUCCUCAACAACAGCAGGCGAAGCGUCGGCGGAGGCAGAAGCACCACCGCCGAGGCCGGCAACAGCGGCUGAGACAGAAGCAGCAACACCACCUCCUCCUGUACGCCCAAAAUCAGAUGGGCAAAUAAUAAAGUAAAGAGAAUCUUUCUAUCUAAAGCCGUUCAAGCAAAAGCUGAUCCGACGCUCAAGAUGAGAUCAUCGACGUUCUUCUUCUCGACGAGCUUGGCGAAGAAGGGCGGCCAGUAGGAGUCGAUCUUCACGUUCUCUGCCUUCGCCAGGGUGGCGAUCCUCUCCGCCUGAUGGUAUAUUUUCCAGAAACGGCAAAGAACAACCGCAUCUCUUGAAAAGAAACCGCAGUUUCUAUUUUCAGAAGAAAACAAAUCAAAUGCGGAAGAAUAAAAAGGGGAAGAGGGAGAACCGUGAUGGGGAGGUCUUCGUCAUGGAGGAUGAGAGCAGCGUAUGUGCAUGGGAGCUCCCCGAUCGACAUGGCUGGACGCAGCAAACAAGAAAACACUGACUAUCUGCAAAUAGAACUCGGAAAAAAAGAAAGGGGAACAUCAACCUAGCCGGAGUUGUUCGAUGUAAUACUAAGAGAAUACAACUGCAGAAGCGAUCAUUACCUGAAGUAAGAAGAAGGAUUUGGCCGCAGCGAAGGAGAAGUUCUAAGUUAGGGUUUGCGCUGGGGAGCGUGAGGGAGAAGCCCGGGAGUUUAUAUAUGGAGCACUGCGUGUCUAUAAAGCGUGAUUCGCGGAAUGAAGACGGCGUGGGGGCGUCACGCGAUUGGAAUGUCACUCGUUGGCCCGAGGGUCCCAUACUAGGAUCCAAUCAGAAUGCAGCAGCGCCACGGGUCAUCACAAAACAGGUAGAAAAUUUCGUUUCCUGUCUCUCCUGUUACGAAACGGGAUGCUAUAUAUAUAUAUAUAUAUAUAUAUAUAUAUAUAUAUAUAUAUAUAUAUAUAUAUAUAUAUAUAUAUAUAUAUAUAUAUAUAUAUAUAUAUAUAUCAAAACCAUUCCUCCAAUUAAUUUAUGAAAGAGAAUAACAAUCACUAAUUGAUGUCAUAACUGAUGGGCAUAUCAUUUACAUAACAAACCACAUUAUUAUUUACAUGAAUCAAUAAGAAUGAAAUUGUCAUAUUUUUCUUUACAUUGGGAUAUACAGUAUGCAAUAUGAUACGUGAGGAGCUACAGGCCACCGUCUGAGGAGUUUGUUGUGAGGGCAGAUGAUCUCCUGAAAUAGCGCGGGGUAGGCCUCAGCCAAUCUUGACCGUCGAUCCAAGACUUGGUAGCAAACGGCUCGGCUUCGAGCGGUGUCAGCCUGUGAGACCACGCAACCCUUCCUGUGACAUCUGAGCCACGACCAAAGCAGCUGUACUCCCCGUAGUACGCCGUCCUGCUCGACACCCAAAGUAGUUCUGUGAGAGACAUGCAAGCAGACCAAUGGCUUCAACCACCGCAGCAGUAUGCCAAUGUUACCUCUGGUUGCGAGGGUCGUUCCAAUCGUUCCAACCUUCAGGUAGCACUGCGUCGGACAUGUAGGUGAACGCAAACACCACCCUGGAGUAGGGUCCCCAUGGCCGCCCGAGGAUUGCAGUUCCAGCUCCGGUGCCGGUGAUCUUGCACUGCAAGAAGCUAUACCCUGUGCUUUCAGCUGCACUGGACCGGCGUUGCGCCGUGAUGGCUCCGCCGCCCGGUGAUGUCGAGUGCAAGUGGCAUUUCUGGUGGCGAACACAUCAUCAGAGUCGACUCAGCUGCAGUGACAAGGAUCGGAUUCUGAGUAAGGACUUACUUCGAAGAGAGCGAGGCCGUUCCCGCAGAUGAAGUCGGUGGCGCCUUCGAUGUAGCAGUUACUGUAGUAGUGGCGUCCGGUGUCGUCCAGGAGAGUGUCCUGGAAACCGAUGAUCCUGCAGGAGUAGAAUGCUGCUCUGUCCCCAGCAACGUGCAGGGCGAUCGCUGGGCCAUUUGGACCAAAUGUGUUCUGGAAGAGAGUCUCAUCCAUUACUAAUAGCUGCUCGAAAGAAAGAAACACUCUUCUUUCAUGCAAUGUAAGAGUACCUGAAUCGUGAGGUAUCUUCCAACGAAAUCUGAAGCUAACACUGAAACCGUGGGAGAUUCUGAUGAUGUCCAACCUUCACCCCAUGUUAUGACUGUGGACAUUGCAUUUGAGCCGCUCAAUGUUAUGAAGGGCUUGUCAGCUGGAACAGUCACCUUCUCUCUGUACAUACAGUUUGGAACGAGGCAGUGCUGUCAGAUGUGGUUUGCAUUUUAAAUGAACAACCCAUGCAUCAUCUCGUUGUUGCAGAAGAAAGGAGCUUAGAACAGAGCACCUGUAAGUCCCAGGCGUGAUCAAAAUGAAGACGGGCUCGGCGUUGUUGGAAGGCACAGCAUCGAUGGCGGCCUGAAUGUUUCUGAAAUCUCCCUUCCCGGACUGGUCGACUCUGACGAGAAUCGCGGAGGAUGGAUCCGAAGAACCUGCCGCGGCGGCCACCGCGAAGAAGGAAGAAGCAGCCAACAAGGCCAACAGCGCAAGGCGGGUGUCUCUCAAAGUCUCCAUGGCUCUUGCAAACGUAGAAUUCAGCAUGCUAAUGGAGGCAUACUUAAAGAAGGAGAGCAGUGACAGGAGCCAGCCACUCUCUUGCUCAACAAGCAUGGCGGAUGUGUGAUCUCGAAGCCGUCUGCUGGCGUGUUGUGUGGAUGAAACAUUCGAACUCGCUGAUGUUUGUGUGCGCUAGCAAUCAAUUGACUUCGUGGGCUAAGAUGCAUGGAUUACGUAGUUGACCAACCUGAAAUGAACCAUGAGAAGAUCGACCAUGGAACAUUACAUGCGCUGCACAUCCUAAGCAAGAACUAAAAAGAUAUGACAUGACACGACACCUGUCCUCCGCUGCUGAUCUCCUAACCUGGAGUUUACACAAGCGCUAUUCUUCCUCCUCAAGCUUAGCUUGUUUGCAGGAACAGAAACAGUAGCUUGACAUUAUCUGUGAUAUGCUCGUUGGUUGCCAAGUCUCAAAUGGGGGCUGCAUUGCUCAACAUGCAAGAAAGAUUUGGCUCAUAAUCCACACUGGAUGAUGGCAUGAUCUUUGUCAAAGUCAGCUGAUGUAACUACAGAAGCAAUUUUGCUGGCUUACAAUUGUGGUUACACAUGUUUCCUAGUCUCCUACUCCCCCACCCAUGUUAAGAAACCAAUAAAAAUAUCUGAAUCAAGAUUUUUGAGUGGAGAGAAUCAAGAUUUGAGAACAAUGAUCAUACAUUGCAGGUGUUAUCUUCUUUUGACAUAUUUAUUAUUUACAGGGAGAAUAUUAUCGAUCAAUCAUUAUUCGACAUGUAUUCAUGUUCAAGCUUGAAGAAGAAGACAGAAAGCUACCUCUUCCGGAUCUGUUUACGUGGACAUAGGUCUAAGACAGAUAAUUAUGAGUUGUUUUUAUCCUUGUCACUUAUAACGCUCGAGGCUCACACAUAUUGAAUUACAACUAAUAUAUCAAUAAAAGGAUAAAUAAUAUGUAUAUAUUACUCUUAUUUUAUGUUAUGAUAUGUAAUGUCUAUGCUUUAUAAAUAUGACAAAUAACAUGUCUAUAUUUUUUUACUUUUAAGAUUAAAGUGUAUACUUUACAAAAAUAUCAUUCUUAGUUUUUUACGAAAUAUUAACUAAGCAUGCAUAAGUAUGAAUGUCUAUAUUAAGUAUAGCACAACAAACCAAAGUGUACUAGCAAACCUAAAUAUGAGGUUAAGUUAUAGUAAUAAACACAUAUAAUGACUAGAAGUAACGAUUGAAUUGUGAUCGAUCUUAAGUGAAUUUUAAGGCUUGAAUGAGUUUAAACAUAAUUAAAGAAAGAAAAUUUAAGUUUUAAACCAUAUAUAAGAUACUUAGAGAUGAAGAAAGUAAUGAAAAAUUAAAUGAGGAUACAAAUAAAAGAGGAAUGUUAUACUAAAUGUUAACAUGCUUAAGUGAGAUCGAAGAAUGAGUUUAGAUUAAAAAAAUAUUAUCUUUAUCCAAAUCCAAUUAAACUCAAUUAAAAUUAUUGUAACAUUAAAAUUAUAUUAGUAAAAGAAGAAAAUAAAAGAAAAGAAGAAAAAAACUUGAAAUAAGAUCUAAUGAGAUUGAGCUUUACACCUUAAUGCAACCUUUUAAGUACCUCUACUUUAAUUUUAGCCUCAUCCUCUUUACUCAAUUAAUAAUCCAUGAUCAUUUCUCUCUUUUUUUAAUCAUUCUCUAAACUUAUCUUAGGAAGGCCAUGAAGCCCUAGCUCUAUGGAAGAUUAAUGUAAGAAAAACUUAACUAUUCCCUUGUUAUACUUAGGGUUUUGGUUUUGUAGGCUGAUAUUUUUAACUACUUUUGAGUAACACAAACAUCGAAUUUAUUUUUUAUUUUUGGAUAUGUUUUGGAUAAUUCUCUUGUGGUUUUAAUAUCAUUAGUAUAACCUUACUCUCUGAGAUUGGUGCAUAGAGUUGUUAUGGUCCCAAUUUGAGGUACUUAGAAUCUCCUAUUUCCUAAGAAGGGAUUCUGUUCGAAUUGAAUUAACCCCUUAGGAAUAUAAUUAUGCUUUGGUCUUUAAAAGAUUCUAUCAAAGUUAUGUAAGAUUUAAAAUUGAGUGAAUACCAUAUUUGUAAACCAAGAUAUGAUGUUUAUAAGUUUAGACAAUCUCAAUCUAGUUUCAUAGAACAAAAUAGGUGUUGGUAGUUGAAGUAGGAGGGUAGUUUAGCCUCCAAAUAAUUCAGUUUUAUGUUAAAUUUUGAUAUGUUUUUAGUUUUAUAUGUCUCCUAGUCUUCUACAAAAGUUCAUGAUAAUUCAAAAUCAUUUAGUUAGCUUGAAUAGUGAAUUAAAACUUCUUCACAUAAUUGUGUAAUGUUUAUGGAGUGAAUUGUUAGAAAAUUUGUAGUGAAAUUUAAAUGAACUUUUAGGUUAAGUAUAGUCUAUUUUAUAAGAGAUUUUAUCAAAAAAAAUUUAUAAAUUAUUACUAUAAAUUAAUAAUUCAAGAGGUAGGGUUCUUAAUUAAGAUAUCUCAUGAUAAUUAUAAAUCAAUAAUUUUAGCACUUCCUCGCACACUCAAUCAUUAAGGAACAUGAUCUUUUUUUGACAUCAUCAUUUUUUUAGUUUAAUCAGGUAAGUAUAAAUUUAAUUCACUGUAAAAUAAUUGUCGUAUAAAUUAUCAUAUGCAUAAUAUAUUUUAAAAAGUAUGUUUCGAAUGAUAUGAUUGUCAUCAGCUAAGAAUGGGCUAAAUAUAAAUAUAUAUUUUUUGUAAGGAUAAAAAUCUAUGAAUUACGAUAAAAAUAUAUUUUAUACAUGCAUAUACGAUGAUAUGUGAUGUGUGAUUGCACGUGUUUUCUAUGACGUGUGUUGUGAGAUUUCAUGUAUUAUGAGAGUGCAUGUAUAUAUUAUGAUAUGCAAUGUGAGAGUACACAUAUAUAUUACGAUGACGUGUGAUAUGAAAGUACAUAUAUAUGUUAUGAUAUAAGACGUAGAAUUUCACGAAUUUGCUAUGUUUUCUACCUGAGCAUAUAAACAUUCUGAAUUAUUUUAUCAUAAAAUUUUAUCUCUUUAUUUUACAUAUACUAUGUUGUAGGAUUAUACUUGCUAAAAAAAUAUAUGAUGAGGUGCUUAUUGUUAAUUGUUAUAUGACGAUGAUUUUAAAAUAUGAUAUACAUGAUAUGAUACAUGCUCACUUGAAUAAAGCUAUAAAAGAUUAUACUUACUAAGUGAUUACUCACUAUAGACCAUAUUUUGCAUGUAAAGAUAUUAAUACCUGACCCAAGUGAUUGUGUAGGGAAGUACGCACGUGAAAGCCUAUACUAAUACAGAUAUGGAUGAUGACCACUGAACAUUUUAUGUAUAAAUUUUGAACAUGUUAUGUUUGGAUUUUUUUUAAUUUUUUUUUACAUGUUAUAAUUAUGUACAAGUGCCAAAAACACUAUAUAUAAGGGAAAUCCUACCAUUUUGUCUAGUGAGUUAGCAUGUUUUAAUUUAAUAGUAGUAAUAUAUAUGGGAAACACUAUAUACAAGUGCAUUCCUAUCGAUAGAUAGUAGUAAUGAAAAUUAAAAUAUGACAUCCUACUUUAGUCUAGGGUACGAGUGAAAUAAGAGUACUACGAUAUUACAUCGCCAACAUAGAAAAGAGGCUAUAUUGAUAUUGUUAAAGGUCAUUAAAAGCUAUCUCUAAAGAAUAUUACACAUAAUAUACCGUUUCUUUACUAUUAUGUAUAAAAGCUCAUUUUUAACAUAUCAAAAGCUAUCUAGGGACCGACUUAGAAAACCUCUCCUGACCUCAAUCUUUAUACAUGUGGGACCUCGAAUGAUCUCCUCAAAAACUCGAUGUUUCUACCUCAAAAGCACCUUGAACAAUCCUACGCAAAUGGGUCUGAAUCACAUCGAGCUGACUCAAACAAUAACAAUAUUUUUCUCAUAACAUUUUUGACACUAGAAAAAGAGUCUAAUGUCAUAAGAAUGCUCGUCCAUCAAUCUUCUCAAUCAACGCUAAAGCGAAGAGAAUUUGCCCCUAACCCAUAGUACUUUCACCCUAGGGUGGCAACAACCACUCUUUCCGUACAUUGGUACAUCCACCUCAACACAGACUCCAAUGUGAUACUAGCGCUUGUUCAAUGACCAAGAUCUCUCACCCCUGUAAUGACCUUGGGCCACCUCCUCAUCCCCAUCGAGGUAUUUUUAAACCUUACUCAGCAAAUAUAAAUGCUAACAUGCAUGAUACAAACCAUCAUACUACUUUUGCCCUAAUUGGUCCAAUAAACGAUGUCACUAACUUAAUCACAAUCCCCAACUCCAUAGCCAUUGGUAGCACCGAUCAAGAUUCCCUAACUCGACAAGGUGUCGACAUCUCAAGACCGCUUCAGGCCUAUCAAAACAAUAGUCAAGGGGGUACUUUGGUCCUCAUUCUACCUUGCAUAAAUUUAAGACUCAAUUAAUGAACUCAACUUAAGAUUUUAUAUGAAUCCAACUACAACAAAUGGACCAACAUUUGGAGGAGAUACAAUGAGAAUUCUAAUAAUCAAAAUGAGAUACACUGAUCACCCCCACCUUGGUCAAUCACUAUUUACUCAAAAUAUUCAAGAGGAACUAAUUUCAAUAAGCUUCAAUCUCCCAUCGUUGAAAGUAUUCGAUGAUAGCACCAACUUGAUGAAACACAUUACAAUAUUUCUCACAUUAUAAUAUUUUACGCUCAUAUAUAAUUAUGUCCUAAGAUAUCAUGCCUUCCCAACCAUAUUAAGAGGCCUAACAUUCUUGAAUGAUACGCUCACUUAAAAUCAAUUUCCAUCUACUUUUUCAUCCAGUUGGUGAUAAAGUUCGUUUUCUCGAGAAUGUAUGCCAUUAGCCUUUAGUGACAAUACUCAUCUGACUCAAACAAAGGGAAGAAAAAAAACGCUCGAAGACUUUGCCACUUGAUUCACAAAUGAGAGAGCUCGCCCUCGUCCGAGAUGUCAUCCUUUAUUCUAAUUUUAUUUAAAAAUCCUUAAAUGAUUUUUAUAGAUAAUUAAGAAUUUGUCAUCCUUUAUUCUAAAAUAAAGAAUGACAAGUUCUUCCUGUUUAUAUGUAACCUGAAAUUAAAAACUCAUAAUUUUAAAAAAAUUAUAAUCUUAAUUUUAUUUAUUAGAAAAAAAAAAAAUGAAUGUCAAGCUGGUUAAUUCUUUUAUGGGGCACAAAAGAUGCAGAAACCCAGACAACGAUCUCAGCACCAAAACUCCCCGUCAUCAACGAAAAUAAUGCGACGAUCAGAUCUUUUGCCCAAAUGUUGGCAACGAAAAGAGAAAUAAAGAAAUACUAAGAAACUAAUUCUUGUACCGCAUAAAACCAAAACAGAGCAUCCAUAGACCAAAGAAGAACGAUUAAGAAAACAUAUCUGGGGUGGGAUGAGAGAAGACAAUUGACGGGUGAAGAGGAGAGGAGGUGCUCAGAGAUCUGAAUUUGAAUGGAUUCAAUGCUGUCCUCACGAAGAAAAGAGGUCAGAUUAACGAGAAACCAUCAUCGCACCCUCCUCCUCUUCGCCUACUGCUAAUUCAUACGAGAAAAGACAAACACACACGGCGAUGGAGAUUUCCCCUUCGCUCCGGCCUCCGGAAACCCUAGAGGAAGAUCCCCCUUUCGCCCACCGAGAGAACCCUAGCCGAGCCACUAUCGACGCGGAUUAGCAACCCUUUUAUAGGGUAUUUGGCAGGCUACUGGGCCCGGUAACCCGUUAGCCGAUGAACCCGGACCCGAUACUUCCAGCCCAGCUCAGCCCGCGAGAUCCAUACACCCAUCAACGGCCCGAUGUAGGCCAUGCAGGUGUGCAGCACGCAUCAUGUCGCAAUUCUCAGGGCAAGUGGGGGCCGUGAUUGGAGUCGUGAAUUGCUGACAUGGACACCAACGUAUCGACCCAAGCACAUCUACGUGGAAGCCGAGUCGUCCAUCAGAGAAUUCCUAUAUUUGGACCGUGGAAUAAUUGCUUUAUGUUGACGGGACCGAGAGAUGAAUACUUGGCUCUUUCCCGCUCGUCCGUCGCUGGUUUGCAUGGGAUGCAUCAGCAUGCACUGGAACAAUCCCUUUUCCUGCUGAACAUGGAGUGAGCUGAAUCCUGGAGCCACCUGAUGUCUGUACGAGUACAUAUUCCAGUCCGAUGACUUCCGUGGAAUCAGGCAAGUUGCUUCCAGCAGGAGGAAUCUGUGUCUCUCGGACCACUUUCUGGAAGCACUGAUGCGAUGCAAAGCUGGGCUGCAGUCUCAAUCUUCCCACAGUUCCAGCUGAACUUUGAGAAUCUUUUCUCCUCCGGGGUCGGAGGAGGAGCACAACACAGUUGGUGAAGAUGAAAGAAGAUCAAAACCAUUGCCACAAAGUGGGUUGCUGUUGAAUCAUCCUCUUGACAGUGUCAUACAGCCAAGGAUCAAAGCGCCAACUUGCAGAGGAAAGGAUCAGCAUCGCCCUCAAUUUAAAAGAUUGAGGUUCUCCGGAUUGCAACUUGCUGGAAUCACCAAAGGUGGCAUCUGCCAAAAGUUGAGCUGAUAUUUCAACCCCCAAAGCCUACUAGUUUUCUAUCAGAUGAUGGAAAUGGCGUUCGAUCACCUUUGACCACCAUAUUUGUUGCUUGAUUGGUGCAGCAUUCUAAUCACAAAAAAGGUAUAGGCGAGGGUUCAGCCAUAAGCAUGAAUUAUAUUGCAUGACAAAGGAAGAGAGAAGAUUUGGCAGGCAAAGGGGUGAGAGAAAAUUUACAAGGGUGAUUCCUUCUCCCAACCCACCAAUUCACAAAUCCCUUUCUAUUGGUCAUCUAGAAGUCUUUGUUCUCCACCACAGAACAACCCCCACUGCCUCGGCUCUCCUGCCUAUAAGGAGCACCGCCUGGCUGCUUCCUCUUCGUAUCAGCAGCCCACACCGAGCUCGUCAGCUUCUCUCACCCACAUCAGAGCUUCGAGAUGGCAACCAGCUCGGGGAGCUCGUGCUGGACCGCGAAGCAGAACAAGAUGUUCGAGAAAGCCCUCGCGGUGUACGACAAGGACACGCCCGACCGCUGGCACAACGUGGCGCGCGCCGUCGGCGGCAAGUCAGCGGAAGAAGUGAAGCGGCACUACGAGCUGCUGGUGGCGGACAUUAUCCUCAUCGAGAAGGGCCAGAUGCCUCGAGCCAAUUACCGCUCCUCCGGCCACAGGGGUACUCCCUUCGCCUCUGCCUCUUUGUCCAAAAAUUUGAUGGACAUGAUCAAGCAAACUCGAACUGUACCAUCUGAACAUUUCUUUUUCUUUGUAGCAGGAUGAAGUGUCGACUGGAUCAAAAGUGUAGAAACGGGCAGCAGUCUACUCUGGAUGAUCAAUUACAAGAAACAGAUACAUACAUAUAUGUGAUGAAGUAUCAGACAUCCCUGCUCUAAGUAGUGUUCUGUUCUCUUGUCCCCCCUUCGAUUCUAUGUUGUAUUUAAAAUGCAGGCAGCCAAGAAGACAUGUCCUGUUCUCUGUAAAUUUACCUACUGGAAGCACAAUAUAAUCCUGUUUGGCAACAAUGCAUAUCUGUGUUUUCUCCUCUUCAAUUCAAAAGAUUAAGUUGAUCAAACGAGAUUAAUACAGAGUUUUGAGGGCCAUUUGAAUGGUAUUAAGAACAGCUGAAAAUUUUAUAACACAAUAUCAUGUUCUUUUGGCACACUGUCGUCUAAAUCACAUACUAAUGAAUAAAAAUGAAACAUAAUGAUAAUGUUAAUAAUGAAAUGAAAUAUGGUGUUAUGAUGAUUAUUUGCUUAUCUAUUUAAACAAAAAGUAUAUAAGCAGUCUAUGCUAUCUAUUUAAGUGGAGCAGAGUCUCCAUCCAGCCUCUUGAAGUUGUCUUCUCUUCUUAUGCACUGCUGUGUAAUUUCUUUCGGAGGAAUGAAGUGACAAUAUAGAUCUAAAAUUCUACAGAAAUCUAAAUCAGACAUAAACCUUUUCAGAGGAAUGGAAGGAUCAAUUUGCAGCAUCAAGUCUUGUUCAGCUCCUCUUUUUUCAUUUAGAUGGUCCAACUCAUUCCUGAACCUUUUCAAGAGUUGUGUGGCCUUCACAGACAUGAUGUGUGAGGCUUACAUCCACACCUCAAAGCCAGAGAUCAUAGCAGUGUCCCCUUGUGGUUUGGCCCUACAUGAAUGAACACAAGCAGAUGAUCUCAGUCCAUGAGGUGGCAGGAGGUAGUCCUUUGAAGAGAACAUCUGAUACUCUCAAGUGGAGUUCCAUAAAGAAUUUUGUCUCUCCAAAGAAUUAUGCUCCCAGGGUGCCAUAAUCAUCAUAUCAUGGCCAACAAGCCUCACUCACAGUCAAUAAAAGAAGAACAUAGCAUUACUAUCCCAACCUCACAAGUGAGCCACCAUCUGGGGAAUUAAUUAUUUGGGACCUAUACUUGAGCAUCAAUACUACAAUAAUUUUAAUCCAGAACCUCUCUAGUUGUAUCCCAAAGACAAUUAAUCAGAAUAUUAUAUUAUUUUUCCUCGUUUUGUUUCUAUAAGUUGUUUAUAUUAGAUAGAUAAUAAUUAACACAUGUGAUCCAAAGUGAGUUCAGUCUCUGAACAAUAGGCAGGGAACAAAAAAAGGGCACAAACCUUUUCACAUCUACAAAGAACACAAGUUUUCUUUAGAAGAAUCUCUGGCUGAUACAUGUCUCACUGUUACAGUAAAGCUCUGAAACUGAUGGGAACAGUAGACUCUGGUACUUGUGUACAUUGCUUGAGGUCCUUUAGUACAAUACUCAUGCAUCUUUGGAACUCUUUGCUGGUCCCUCUCUUCCACAUGAUUCCCUGCAACUUUACAUACAGCCAUGGAAUCUUCAGUGGUGCAAGUAGGCAAAAGCAAGCAGCAAUUUGCAGAAGCUUGAUCCAACAGGUCCCGAAGAGGUGAGGAAGAUUCUUUCCGCCCCAACUUGCAGGUACCUGUCAUUGCGAGGAUUCCAAGAGAAACUAGCCUUGGUUAAAGAUGAACACCUCCAUGCAUGGAAUCAGCUCUGAGACGGCCUACAAGAAGCAAGUGCUCCAGUUUCAACCAAGGGUUGAAUCUUAGUAAGUAGCGUGAUGUGACAUUGUUGUCUCUCUCCCUUCGUGUAUCUGUUCUUCCUCAUGUGGGAUCGUUGGCUUUCUAACUCUUUGAUCCCUUUACCCGGGAUCAUCUACCAUUCCAUGAGAUCUCUUAUACGUCAACUUUCAGAUUCGCCCUGCUUAUAUGCCAAUCUUGUUUCUCAAUCUAUACUCGUCAAAUCCAAUAUAUUCCCCCCCCCAUGUGUGCGCCGAUACCUCCCUGUAUCUUUCCACAGAAUCUACUCUCCAGGAUCUUUUCUUCUCUCUCUCUCUCUCUCUCUCUGCCUUAUAAUUUGACUGCAAAUAAUCAUCAGGGAAGCAUGAAUUAAUGGCUGUAUACGACCUAUCAAUAUCCUUUCAACCCAAUAACACUUGAAUUCUUUGGCACUCUUCUAUCACUCAGCAUCUUUCCUCGUCGUGAACUACUGAAAUGCUAAUACGAAAACUCAAACGUUGUCAGAACCGCGAGGGCAUGCAAGUGUUGUGAGAUCAAGAAUACCGAGGAAGAGAGUAUUGGAGUACUUGAGAUAAAAGUUGGGAGGGAGAAAUGGCGAUUCCUUCCACUUCCCCACAUAGAUCUUAUUGUUCUUUGGCCUCAUUGUGGCUCCAAGAGGGCACCAGUACUCAUCUCAUAUUCUGCCAUCCUUCCUUCCUCCUUUAGUCCUUUUGGAAAUGCUAUUCUCCUGCUAGUUAGCUCCAACGAAGCACUACCCCACAACUCCCACUUCCCUCCUGUUUAUAAGGAGCGCCAACCCACGGAAGAAGCCAACGCAGGAGUUCGUAGAGCUUAAUUAGCGUCUGCUGCCAAUUAGACUCCCCUCCAUCUCAUUCCAUAUAUAGCCGAGAUGGCGUCCGGCUCCAAGAGCAGCUCGCGCAAGCUCCAGGACUCGUGGACCAAGGAGGAGAACAAGCGCUUCGAGAUGGCGCUCGCCCACUUCGACCUCGACACCCCGGAUCGCUGGGUGCACGUCGCCAGGGCCGUCGGCAACAAGUCCGUCGAAGAAGUGCAACGCCACUACGAGCACCUCCUCAAGGACAUCGAGCUCAUCGACUCCACCCAGGAGCCAUUCUACAGUUACCCGACCACCAAUGACAGGCGCCGCAACGGCACCAGCGACCAGCAGAAGAGGUGGUUGCUUCUUCGGUACUCCAAGCUUUCAUCUUAUUUCUUCUUCAUCUCUGGAACACCCCCACCUUUCCGUCGUCGUCCUCAGUCUUUGCCUUUCUGAAGAAUGAGACCCGCGGAGCAGCAUUCCACAGCAUCUCUUAGCUUUCCACAAUCUUUAGGGGUCACAGUCACAUGCAGCACUUCAUUCUUUCAUAUAUUCUUAUUGUCUUGGCUAACUUAUCUCAUGGAUUGCUCUGUCUCUUCCUUGUCUGCUGCAUGCCAAAGCUUCAAAUCAAGUUGUGGGUUAAAUUAAUGGUUCUUGAUGAGUGAAAACUAUUCUGAUCUCAUGGCUCUUUCCAUUUUUGUCUUGUUUGGCAGGCUAAGGUUCCUAAAGCUCCAGUGAAGCAGAAUCUGGGGAGCGUACAGUAGCAAUCUUAUGAUGCGAUGUUAUGAUGGACAGCCAUACGUAUAGUCUUAUGUGUCAGGUUAUGUAUCAAGAAGCAUCAAGUGUGGAAGCCAUGAAGAAUCAGACAACACUGAUGUUGUAGUGGUAGCUGUGUUACAACAUAUGAUGUAUGUGACCGUAUCACAGACUAUGUAUGCUGUAUGUAAUUUGCUAAAUAUUGCUGGUACUUUAAUUAGCAUCUGUGUUGCCUUAUGAAAGUAUUUAUGAUAUGUUUCUUCCUGAGUCAUCGAUGUUCUAAGCGUUGGCCUAUGAGACAAUAUAUUUUGGCUUAAGUUUGCUAUGUUAUUGAUGGUAUGUUUUGGGUUGAGCCUCAAUUAAACAGUAUAUGACUCUACCAUUUGAGUGAUCUAUGCAGAAACCUAUUUAGUUUACCUUUUACUUAAAUAAAUUUAAUUAUUUUAGAGAUAUUUUAUGUAAGUAUCUCAAUUUCAACUUAGGAAGAGAAAAAGGAAGUAAUUACAUAAAAUAAAGAAAUUAUAUUUGAUUUUGAUUAAAAAUAAUAAAUUUUGAUUGAAGAUAAUAAAUAAUCUUGCCGAGUUGUGAGACAAAUAUUCUGGGAGUGUUCUACUUGGACCAAAGCGACCAUGGCAUUUAUUCCAUUAUAUUUUUAUUAUCAUUUUCUUUCUGGAAUCACUCUUUCUUAUUUCAAAAAAGAAAAUUAAAUUUACUUAUCUGUGCCUUUUGAAGUAUUGAAAUUACAUAUUAAUUCUUACAAAUUUAACGUAGCAUAUAUGUCCCUCCGAAUUCAAGAUUAUUCAUGCAUAUACUCCCGUCCACUUCCAUUCAAAAAACCUAUACUAAAUAUUCUUAGAUGUGGUUUAUAUUUACCACAGUUAAAUUAUUUAUCAUACCUAAAAUUUAUUAAAAGAAAUCUUACUAGUAUCAUAGGAGCUUUUUAAAGGAUAAUAAUAUCGAUUAGAGUUUCAAUUAAGAGAAAACAAUAUUCAUAUAAUAUAAAAUAAUUGCAUGAACACAUAUGUAUCUUUUUAGGUUCAAAUGGGAGUAUAUAUAUGUAUAUAUAUUAUAUAUGCUUAAAUCAAAUUUAGUAAAAGAAAAUCACUAUAGGCGAGCAUAUAUUUCAUGCUUCAAGAGAGAGGAUUGCAUACAUUUAACCAUCACAUUUGUUGCACUCAGCUCAGCCCACAAGCCACACUUCAGCCCAUGCAGUGAUGUCUAAGGCAAUAUAAUUUAGAUGUCAGUUUCUCUUCAAAGAUGAGACUCACUACAUCAAUUAGCAUUGUCAUCUCAUAUGGUGGACAAAUAUGAUGUUCCAUGCAGAGCUAAGGAAAAUACUCGUACAUGUACAUGAGUGCGAGUAUAACAAUCCUAGGAGGAGACUUCCAGGUUCUAUACUAAUAAAGACGACCGAUGAAGAUCCAUAGUUUGCCCGGUUUGGUGUCAAAGGUUGAUUAGAAGUUUGUUUAGUAUUAUUAGGAGUUCUAAUAAAAUUAGUGUAUGUUCUAUGUGAAUUAUUUAGGUGAACCACCUUCCCAUAUUAUAUGAAUAUUAGCUUUUGGGAAUUCCGAUCUGGUUGAUAUGCCUUCGGGUGUUCGAAGUGAGCUCGAUCUGUACUAAGACGGAUGUCGGAUGAGGUUCUCAAUAUGAUCUUUUUUAACGCUCGAUUAAUGAUCAAUGAUUUUUGUCCUCUUCUACUAAAUAAAGUGCGGAUUAGAGAUGAAUAUUUUUCCUAUAACCAACGUAUACAUGAUUGCUUAAUAGGUUCAAAUUGCAAGAAACGUACAACUUAUAUACCCAAUGGUCACAAGAAAAUAAUUUAUCGUCAGCAACACAAAUGCCUUCGUCCCUGAAUUUGACACCGAAGGUUAAGCAAAGAAGCUCUCUGUUUGAUGCUGAAUUGAUACUCUAGAAAAGAAACCAGUAUGUUUUACCUAUACAUAAGAUUUCAGCCAUGAGUAAGAACCACGAAGAACACAAAAAAGUGGAACAAUAUGCAGAAUAGCAUAAAGAAAGGCCUAUUCUUAGAACUCCAUUUGAUACAUUGUGAAAGAAAAUUCAAUGUUCCUUAUAAUAAAACUGUUCCUCUCAAUCAUCCAUAAAGAUAGAAUGGGUUGAAUGGUUCAAUGAAUGCGCUCAUGACAAAGGUCUCAGCAUCCCAACACCAUGAACAUGUAGAAGGGAGAAAUAGGACGCAACUGACAUAUCCUUGCUUUAAUUUCUGAUCUUAUCCCAAUGCUAUCAUCGGUGGAAUCAACUUCAAGAAAAAGACAAGAUGUCCAGCAAAAGUGAAACUGCCAAUGUGGCCUCAUCCAUGCAUCUUUAGUGCAACAGAAACGAGGACGGGCAUGAUGCAAAACUCGACACAGAAACAAGAGAAAACGACAUGGAUGGAUCUGCAAGAUUAGGAGAGAGAGAGAGAGAGAGAGAGAGAGCCGUAGCAAGCAGGUGAUCAUGUUGUACACGAGAGUGAUACCUGUUCGGUGCCGACAUUAGGGUCCGAGUGUGAUGCUGUGAGAUGACAACAACAUAGUCGUCGAUCAUUCAUGCCAUGCACUUGUGAACUCUUCUUCCUGUGCGCAGGAAAUGUUGAAACGUGGAGUUGAUGGAGGAAGAAAUUUCCACAAGUUCUUUGACCGCAUCAGCUUCUCCUCCGCCCAAACCACAAACAAGAAAAGCAAAGGAACGGUUCCAAAGCUCUCAUAUGGUCGAUCAACCCUUUUGCUAUACCAACCUCAUGGUGAAUGAAUGAGGAAAUGGGCGGGCUUAUGAUCACACCGAGAACUAAGUAGCGAUACAUCUAAGCAAGUUAAGUUGAUGACAACAGUAAUGCAGAUGCAAACCAAGAAUUCGAACGCAGAUGUUUCAGUACCCUGCCUCCGCCUACGAUCUCAUGGCCAUCACAUCUGCUGCUGCGAUUGUUGCGACGAGGAGUGCGGCUGGUGUUGCUGCGGCAGUACUACUUCAUCCUGCCCCGGUGGUUGCUGUGGCUUCCUGAUCAAGUGCUUGUUGUUGUGCAUCCAGACCUUCAAGACUUGCCUCCUCACCCCAGUCUCGGCGCAGAAUUGCUCCACCAAUCCCUCGUCUUGCUUCUGAAUCCUCCAUCCCAUCCUUUCCGCGAAAGCCAGCAUCUUCUCCUUCUGCUCCAUAGUGAACUUGGUCCGGAACCGCUUCCUCGGCGUGGUCGCCGGGGUCGGCGCCCCGGCAGUCAUCCGUUCCUCGCUCGAAGACUCCGUCGUCCCUCCGCUCCCGCUGGCGUUGCCACCGAACGCCACGAUGCCGGAGGACGGGGUGGUGGGAGUACCGAAUUGGAAUUGCUUCUGGUAGUGGUUAUGGUGCUGGGAUUGGGGAUGGGGGGGAGGAGGGAGGAGGAGAGGAACACGGGCGGCGCCGCGGUAGUAGGAGUCGGCGGCGGCGGCGUCGCCUUCGGCCUCCUUCCGAUGGAAACUGCGGUGGCAGCCGCAGGCCGCGCACUUCAGCGCCUCCGGCGAGGACGGGUCGCCCUCCGGCAUGAAUUCGCCGCAGCCAUCGAGAACGUGGCCACCGAUGGAAGCCGCGUGGUUGCGGAGGCAUUCUCGGUACCUGAUAGAAGCUGAUGCAGCGGCCUUGGUGUUACUCGGCGCAGUUGCACCGCUGACCGGAGCUGGAUCUGUGUUCCUUGCAGCAGACUGAUACAAAACAUCCACCGCUGCAGCUGUUGAUGACGGUGUGGUGCUUCCAAAGAGGCUAACAUUCUCCGCAGUUGAUGUGCCACUUCCAUUUCCUCCUCCUCCUCUUAGGGAGAUUAAAGAGGAAGAAGGAGAGAGUACAGGUUUGGAGAAAGCAGAUCCUCUAAUGGGAGGACGAGCGUUGAAACUCAAAGCUGUGGAUGAACGCAUCUCAUCAUCAUCAUCAUCAUCAUCAUCAACAACAAUUUGGUCUUUAUAUUCCAUGAAUCGAACUCUUCCUCUCUAGAUUUCGUCUUCAACAGAGAAAGCAAAGCUAAUGGAGCCGAUCAGUAGAAGAAAUCUUCGAGAGAAGCGACAACACUGUUCAAGCUCUUAUUGCACUGGGAGCACGGAUGAGGUGAGAGGGACAGGACGAGAAAGUGCUGCACCAAGAGACGCAGACACCGGAGGUGUAAUAAUAAUGAGAGAGUCAUUUAGAAGGGAGUGGCCUUGGGAUUUGGUGUCCUGCCAUCCACUUCUGAGGUGGAAAGAGACGACGAUUAGUUCCACACUUCUCCCCUAAUCUCAACCAUUAAACUCAGCUCCUCCUCCUUCAACCACAUCAAUUCUAGGAAAUGGCUACAACAUGACACUCCAUGUGUCGUUCAUCGCUUCCAAGUCAAAACCAGCUGCCAAAGAAAUCAAGACACAUGAUGAAUCAUUUAAGACAUGUCUCCAUGUGAUCUUCACCGGAAUCUACAUGAUUGAGUUAUGAUGAGUGCAGGCUAUCAUUUUUCACACGGCUACAUUAAGAUCGGGUUGGCCACUUGAUGUUGCUAUCAAUUGCUUGCAAAGUACUCGACGUGUCAGACGCACAAGUAUAAUAUUGUGCAGGUCUUUCCUGUUAGGGCAUGUAAAUGUCUCAUUCUAUCUGGAUUAACCUCAAGUGAUUUGGAUGUUUGUUUGGAUGAAGACAUAAUGAGAGAGAGAGAGCGAGCGAGAGAGCAUAUAAUAACGUGGGAAUCAAUUUGUCGACAGGAGCAGCAGGAGACAACCAAAAGGUUGACUAGUACACAACUUGCCAUUGAUUGGCGGACCACGUGGCCCCCAUGCGCGGGGGCCCUUCCUGUGUCAGGAUUCUGGAAACGUGGUGCAGCCCCAGCCACCGGUAGUGGUGUUUUUUUUGUCUUGUCGGAACUCGUGCCCAUGAGCCGUCAACACUCGCUCUCCCCUGCCAUUCCACUGGCUCUUCAUGAUCGAUGAAUGCUUGUGAUUCCUUAGAUGCCUGUGUCUCAGAUAUAUGUGUAUAUAUGCACACACAUAUUGGUCUAGUGCGACUCUUGGAAGGUGAUGAAAGGUAACAUGUCACGUUUGCUAGCUGGAAACCACGCCUUGGGUGGAAUCCAAUGGAUGGAAAAGGUCUCUUGUCUUGAAUGCUGACCUGUUGCUUCCACGAAGAGUAUGUGUGAGGCGUGGAUGUUUGGUGACGCUGUUUCUUCCAUAGGCGAAUUGAAGAGGCAAUUAUGAAAGAUAUCAUAUAACAACUUUAUAAUGUGGCCAAUAUAAUUAAUGGCAUGCCCGAUAAGAUGUAUGGGCCAUCUUCUCCUUACAGAGAACCAAAUAUUUGCAGUGUCACGAAGAAUACCAGAUUUGGGCUGUGUACUGAUCGGCCCGAUCCAAAUCUGGAUCCAAAUCAAACAUUAGGUUCACAUCUACUGGGUCCGACUUGACCUUAUACUUACGCUUCUCCUGAUUCCCUAGGGUCAUGGGUGGGGCCAGACCAGGCUGCUCCAGUUUGACCUCUAAACCCGUCGUGUUAAUCUAUUAAAACAUGCUCGAAGUUGUCAACGUCCAAGUGUUCGACGGAAGGCCGCUGUUGAUUCGGCAGCAGGCCAGCGAGUCAUCACCACUGGAUGGUAAAGAAGUACUUACUACUCAUGGCAUGCAACGAUAUUUAACGUCGAUCGGCGACGGAAGCCUUGGCUGUGGCCGGGAGAUGGCGAGGAGCAAACGGCAGUCCCUUUGUCUUUGAAGUGUUAUCGAGUCCGGUUGGUAAUGCCAAGCUUAAAAGACUACAUGGUUUUCUUACUUGUAUUCGCCGAUCACCUGGAUAUGAUUGCGUGUGAUGCGAGUGGACCUGAACGAAUAAGCUUUUGAAAAGUAAUUACCAUUAUCUUUGAGAUAAGGAUAAUUCGUGACCACGUUCUUUAGAGGGGAUGAGAGAGAAAGAAGAGGAGGGAGAAGAAUAUGGAGUGUGUAGUACGCUAGUAACACCAACACAAGCCAGAAAACUCCCGGUCCGAACUGAGAUGAUGCAUGCUUUGAACUGUUAAAAAGCAACCAAUGAAUGCCCGGAAGUACGUCUCGUACGGUAACUCUUGAUUGGAUUCUGCUGUUAUCCCAUCAUAUCAGGCUUUCUGUUGGCCUUCUCUCAUGUCCACCGGUCACUGGCCGCUGCCACCUGCAGAUGCCCUGUUCAUGUCAUCCCCUCGAUUCCUCCCCCCCCCUUCCGCCAACGACACCGUCAUCAGCAGAAUCUAUCUAUUCAUCCGUCUAACACACACACACACACAUGUUGACUCUUAAACCACAAUAAGAACACCCAUCAUUUGAUUCGUUACCUAACGAAGAGACUUAUCAUCUCUACUACUUGAGGCUACAGAGUAUACAUGAAGAGGUUGAUCAAAGAAGGCCACGAACAGGACUGGUUUUGAUGCUGAGUUGCUACUGGAAUUCGGAACUACUAAUUGUAUUGGAAUAGGCUGGGGCGGUCUCGAACCGGGAACUGGGUCGGCGGCACCAGGUUUAGCCGCCAGGAGAGAUAAGGCACGUCGCCCUCGUCCGCCGUGUCGUCAUGCACCGAGAUGGAAGGGCCGCUCUUCGUCGCCGUUGGAGCGUAGCAUCCCCAGGGUGACUGCUGCGGCUGCUGCUGUCGUAUGUAUCCGUAUCCGAUCGUCUGCUCGGCAGCCGCCGUUACCACCGAUGUCGACGAGGACGGCGAUGCCGCCGCCCGCCUCUCUUCCUUCUUGUAACGGAUGCCGCACGCGUUACACAGUGACUGCAUUGCUGUAACAUAUUAGAUUGCUUGAGACGGAGAUACAAGUUUAAGGCGAAGCUAGUCACUACCUUUGGGCCUCUGGGACCGUUCCUCCACAAGGGAGUGGAGGUGGUGUCGCAGUUGGCGCACCUGCGGGCUAGUAGAUGCGGGUCUCCGGCCAUGUUCGAGCCGAUGGUGUUUCCACCACCAGAAGCAAUGCUUCCACCUGUUCCCAUGGACGCGUGCUUCUUGGGAUGAGAUAGGCUAUCCCAGCGAAAGCUGGACAUGCACGAGGGUGGCUGGAUAUGUGCAGUAGGUGAGGGCAAGGUUUUGUGUUCAGUCAGGCGCGUCGAUGGGGUGCCGAGAGACAAGGUGCAGUCCACCGACGAGGAAGCGUCGGACUUACUGCCAUCGAAGGCAUCAUCAUCAGUAAACUUGCUACCGGACGCCGGGAAGAAAAUGGAGAACGAGGCGGCGCCACCGCAGAGCAACCCACACGAGCACUGCUGCGUGCUGCUCUGGUGGCCGCACUGGUGCAACAUGGCUGUAGUCCUAAUCGAAAGGCUGCAACAGAGAGGAAGCAAGAGCUAAAAGACUGGGAGAAGAGGGAGAGAGGGAGACGCGGUUGAGCUCAUAUAAAAUGGGAGGGCAGCAGCACGUACUACUACUACUACUACUACUACUACUUCUGUGGGGAUGACACGCAUCGGGAUGGAGGAGGGAGGAGGAGGAGGAGGUGGUGGUCGUCCAACAACUACGAACUACAUAGUGGUUUACACGAAUGUAGCGAGUGUUUUUAUAUGUGCAGCCGAGGUAGCAGACAAGGAUUAAUGAAGCAUAUUAAUGAUGCUUUGUGGCAAUAAUAGCGUGUGGGAACUUGGGAAGUGGGGGAUCGGGGCUUGUCGGUUCUUAAGCAAAGAGGAUAGAGUAAGCAAGCUUAAACGACACAUGAAAAGUGGAAUAUGACUGACUACCAAAUGUGUAGCUGCUAAUCUAUGGAAGGGCUCAUCGGGGGUUGGAGAAGACUAGUCAGCUGCAGUACGAUAGUGUUUAUGUGGUGCAGUGGGGAGGGCUCCACUUAUCCACCGAGUCAGUCGAAUCAGAUGAGUUCACCCCUAUUCGCAGUUUGGGUUUCGUGUGCUAUCUCCAUCAUACACCACAGACAGUCGCUCUCUCUCCUCGCUGGGGGACUUCAGCUUCCACCUAACAAUCUCUCAGCCUGUCCUCGGUAUAGGGGGAGCGGCCAGCAUCACCAAGUCGGAGUUGUGGCGGUUUCCUCUGCACUGCUUCUUAUACAACAAUGACGUAUGACUGGUUCGGGGCUGUACAUCACAACAAGACGAUGGAUCAUGACACAGCGCGUUAAGGGACUGCAGUGAGAGAGAGAGAGUGAGAGGGAGUUUUUGGAGGCGCAGCAAACAAUGCGGGUCAGAGGGGACAGACGGGGUUGGUCAUUGGGCGGUCAAAAGUGGCCACGUGACUCCGGGAACAGUCUUCCACAUAACAUUUCUCUAUACCCUUACGCCUCCUCGCCGAUCACGAGACCGCGCGCCACCCCGCCAGCGACGACGACGGAUGGUGGGUGUGCAUCGAAGCAGAGGAGCAGCAGAGACGCAACACUGAGCCAGACACGAGCGCAGACCAACUCCACUUCAGAAAACGUUUGCUUGUGGACGACACUCUCGAACGGCACAGGAGCCAUUUUUAGCUCACGUCACCAUCUCCAUAUGUCGCCAACCGCUGCCACAAACCACGGAGACUCUACGUAGGAGACGACGACGUAUCCGGGAAGAGGUGAUGGAGUCGACAUAGGAAGCGUAUCCCAAAAGCGAGAACGGUGUGUUGUAUAAAGAGGGAGAAAGUAAAAGACAGGAAAAGAUAAAGAGAAACAAAUGGGAAGGACGAGAGAAUAUAGCCAUGGCUGCUGGCUGCUGGCUUCUGCAUAGGGAGGGAAACACCGGCAGCAGCUCGGCUUAAUCGGCCCCCCUCAUCAUUACCGUCGCCUCAAAAGGGGGGUCAACUUCUUGAACACAUCCCCUCGUUGGACGCCACGGUUAUACAUUACAGUGAAAGUUGCACCGCCGCGUAGCUAAUCAUCGCCGGCUACAGCUUGCUCGCUUUGCAUUGUACGAUCUCCCAAGUGAAUCGGAGAUCAAAGAUAAGAUUAAACAGAACCAACAGUGAGAGCACGUACUGCAUCCAUGGCUUACGGGAGCUGCCACUUGCCGGCCAACUGCAGGUUAUCAUGCAGGAAAGUGAGACACCGGAACGAUGAUAGUAUACGUACAGCUUACUCCUGUGUACAAGUGGCGUAGGUGAUCCAAGUUCAUGUUCAAAGAGGGUUUCCGAGACACGACCACAAGUCUAGAGAUCGCUGUCUAGGUUUAGAUUACUUAUGUGUGUAGAGAGAGAGAGCGAGAGAGAGAGAGAGAGAGGCAUCUUUUGGAAAGCGGUAGUCUCCAAAACCGAUCAGUUCUGUGUGUCGUGCUGCCCAUAAAAUCCAAUGGUGGCGAACUACGAGCGAGCGGCGUCCCCGAAAAAGAGAGAGAGAGGGGGAAGAAUGAGAAAGAAAGAGAGAACAGGCAGGAGGGAUUCAAAUGCUCCUACGAUGGGCGUCUCGCCUUGAGAACUGAGAUAUCUCUCCUCCCUUUCUUGACCAGAAGCGGAGCAGCCUUAUGUCUGCGUCCAUGAACACCAGACGAAGCCAUCAUCGUCCACGACGGGUGACACGAACCUAUUCACAAGCGCCAGAGCCCGGUCAACAGCAGACGGAGCGGCUAUUGCGUACUUGGAGUCGUGUCAUUAGCCGGGGCAGGUGUUGGGUGUCAGGGACCCAACCAAACUGCGUCGCUGCGAGGUGCACAGACUGGGGGCGGAGGCGGGUCCCACACGACAUGACCAAUCCGGCGUGGUCCCUCUGUUGCUCCCCCGCCCCCGGUACGUUGGUGGGGUUGGUGCCCUACGCCGGCUUUUUAGAGCCCCCAUCCAUAUCGAAUCGAGAUUGACCGGCAUCUGAAAUUGCGCGGAUUUCGUUGACCAAUGCCAAAACAGAGUCAUGCAUUCAUGUAGGAGUUCUAUUAGUUCCUUUUUGUUUUCCUUCAUCAGUAUGCAUGCCAUUAAUCAAUCUUUACACAUUCCUAGGCUUUGUUUAUAAGCAAGCAUGGUGUUCUUGUUGCAUGGUUAUAGCAAGGUGUGCUUGUUGUAUGUUUGUUUAGUAUUGAUUUUGUGUCAUAUAACUUCAUUGUCAAUCCAUCUUGUCUACCAAAGGUUUUUCUUUAACAUUUCCUAUUCUAACAAAAAUACUAAUAGAAAAUUAACGCAACACAUUAUCGUCAUGUAUAUAUCAUGUGACCAAUACCUCAUCGUCAUUUUUCAUAUGACAUAAUAACCAGUUUAGCUCUACACAAAAAAGUUGACCCAACCGGCAAUUACCCCAUGUUUGAGUUAAAGAGUAAACGCUUCAAACAUUUAACCACGACCUCAAAUACAACAGUGCUAAAUCACACUUUAAAAAGAUCAUUUGAGUACGUUCUCCGAUACUAGAAUUUUUCAAAUACAUUUACUCUCAGACAAUCUCACACUUGGUUGAAUCCUUCGAAUCCGAAGGAACUUCAAUACGAGGACUUUGUUGGGUAUUCCGCUGACAUAAUAUCGUAGGGUCUCGACUCAGAUUUCUCUUCGUUCAACGCCACAUCACUCAGCGACAUAUAUAGAGUAGGACUUCGGUUGCUCCAAAUUUGCAUCAAUGUCGGACAAUCAGAACCUAAAUUAACAAAGGCAAAGUUAACAACAAAGAAGAAUUAACAUGUUUACAUUGUUUAUAUAAAAAAAUGGAGAUCUUAAUGGAUUGACGCAACUCAAAGAAAACAACUGACGUUUAUGAAAAAUGCAUUCUGAUUCAGCAAGUUAAAAAUCUCGCAGACUGAGCAGAGAGCAGAAAAAUGUAGGUAGGAUGCCAUACUUGCACAUUUAAAGACUCAUCGCUUAUAGAGGAUCAAGUUCCUUCUCAUCUAAAUUCUUUUGAUACUAAUCACAUAGUUCUAUGAUUUGGGACUUACAUAACAACAUUGAGUAUUGAUACUAACAGAAAACAAAAUCAACCUAAGAUGCAAAAAAAAUAAAGCUGCCCAUAUUCAAUGUGUAGACAGAAACUAAAGCACUGGUUUGAUUCAGUUCAUGAGAAAGAUCAACCAUGCAAGAAGACAAGGAUGUAUAUUGAUAUAUGAAAAAGAUCUAGAUAUUAAAGAUUCAGUUGAACUAAGAAGAACCAAUUGUUGAAGACCUAUAAUUAAACUAUUGGUGUGCCAAUGCAAGAAUAUAUAAAGCAAUUUAUUUCAUUACCCGAGGACUUGAAUAUGAGACCUAUCACCCUUGCAAUAAUGUACUAACCAACUUAUUUCAAAAAGAAACAUUAGAAUGAAAAGUGAUCACCACAUGUUUCAAGUGGCUAUCAUCAAGUAGAACUGAAAUAUUAUAAUGGAAUUUUUACCUAAAAGAAUUGAAUCAUCAAAUUAAAUUAAUACAUGUAAAACAAGUUCCCCACUCAAAACAAGGCAGUGUAUUUUCUUAUAAUUUCAUCAAGAGUAGUUCAUAUCUUCUUCCACGAGCGGCACACUUGCUUAUAAUCUAUACUAAUCUAUACCAUCCAUACAUACCGUAACACUACACAAUACAUCUGAUUUCUUUGGGAUAUAUGAGACAAAUUGGUUUGCUACAAUCCUUUACAAUUACUUAUGAAUAGAUUGAUCUUAAUAUCAACUAUUGGAAUUAUAUGAAAAAUGAAGAAGCUGACCUUGGUGGAAAAGCACUAGAAUGAAGAAUUGAAUAUCAUGAUUUUUAAAUAAAACUGACUCAAUCAUUCGUGUAGGGUGAAGAAAAUUUAUUCCAAAUAUACAAAGUAUCACAAAGUGAAACCCUAUAAAGGUUGAACAAUUGGAGAUUGAUAAUUGUGUGCUACGAGAAUGCCUCUACAAUUUAAACCCAUAAUUCGAAUGUUCUAUAAUUUACAAAGGUUGAACAAUGCAAAAGCAAAAACUCAAAUCAACACAUCGGUGAAGACAACAUUCAGCACCAAUUGGUCUACAUACCUGAAAUCAAGCCAAAAGAAAUAUCAACCACAGAACAUUUUGAGAGGAUGACCAGCUUGAAAAUCCACAGAAUUUUUUCCUUUGAAUGCACAUUGCUGUAUAGAUACAUUAAACAAAGAAGAAUUGAGUUGUCAAGUGAUAACAGAAGAAUAAACUAGGCUCCAGAAAUAUGCAUCAAAAUCAUGAUUCUCGUUAGUGAUGAACAGAGGUCACAAGACACAAAAUAAGAAGGGUUAUGCAAACACAAUGUCCUUUUCCUUUAAUAAACUUUCUAUCAGGGCCAUUUGUUCAAUCAAGUGUAUUUGAUUGCAACAGUACUAACUGCAAAAUUAAGAAAAAAUCAGAACCAAUCUCGUAUAAGACAGCUUCAAUCUUUAGUGCGGCCUUAUUAUUGUGAACUGUAUAGAUUUGCUCCAAAAUGUGUCCCUGUCACAAUGCAAACAAUUGGUUUUUGUUCUACAAUUUAUGGCAUCGAAAUGCUUUGUAAGGAAGAUACAAAGACCCUUUAGUACAUUCUUAAUCUCAAAAACCAUCAUGAACAAAAAGAUUGGAGUACCCUGAAGUAACCAGUUGGAGAAUCACUACAUCUUUCGUAAAUACAAAAGUACCACUGGCAUUACGACAAUUAUGUGCUACGAGGAUGUUGCUACGAUUUUUUAUGUCCUCAUAACUUCAAAUUCUAAAUAUUUGUCAGUUAAUACAAUAAUCUCUUCUGCUUUUGUAUCUCUUUUUUAAAACUAGCUGGAUCUGAAAGUAUAAAAAUCUUUGCACUGUCCCUUCCAACCAAAUCUUAGUCAGCUAUAUUUCUAGAAGACAAAAAAAAUUCCAAUUCAACAAACAUGAGAGACAAUGUCUUCAUUUUUUAUUGACAACACUAGCUGAUUAGUGAUAGCUUGAUAAAUAUUGAGAUAAGUGAAAUGAAAAGAUUCAACAAAUUCACAUUUAUAAUUUAUUAGCUUAAUUGAAAUUGAAUGAAGAACACCACUUAGUACACCAAGAGGUAGGAAUAGAUAACCAUGGGUCAUGUGAUGAUGACAACUUAUUUAUCAAGUGAGAAAUUAAGCAGGCUUCAGUUUGGUGUUCCAAAUGAGACAAGUAGUUCUUUAUCAAUAUACAUAUAUAACUCUAGAAACUCAAAAGCAUCUAUGCCAUCUUAUAAAUACAAAAAGCAGCUGGAAAAUCAUCAAGGGUAGCACAUUAUUCCACACAUUAAGAUGACAUCUUCGUGAUAUAAUGAUUAACCUGGUAUGGACCGCUAACUCUCUGCCGAAUAGAAGAGAGAACCCUGGUAAAUUUUCAUCAUAGAAAUCAGAAUAAAGGCCUUAAGCAGGAAUUCAUUACCAAGGUUUCCAGUAAUUUUUCUAGUUCACCACAUGUGCAACAGUUAUAGCAUAGAACAUAUACAAGUACGUGAACAACAUAUUGAAAGCAAAAUGAUCCUUCUUUGAUGACAAUAUGAUUAUGUUCAGUGUGGAAAUUUCAUGCGAUGGUACUCUGAUCUGAUGAUUAGGAAAACAUAGAUAGAGAGGAAACUAAUAUCAAUUUGGUUUUAAUAUAUCAAUGAAGACUACUAACCUCUUAAGAUAUGUUAACAAACAAAACUUUGCAUUAACACUGGAAAGUAAAGACCUUUAACAACAAAUUAUCAAUUUGCCUAUGGGUACUCUAGCUUCUUAAUGACAUGUAUGCACUUUGUGUCCGUGUCAAACUUCCUCCUAGACACAAAUAAGUGAUUAAUCUCACAAGGUCUCCCUAAAAAUUUAACUCAGCUUCACAAUUAACAUCAAACAGGUACUUCUGCUACAUCAGUCAAAACAUGAAAAUACCAACAAGGACAGGUUGUUCCCAAAUUUAUGGGUUCAGCUACCCCUGCCAUAGCAGAUUAGAAAGAAAAGGAAAGUGAAACUAGCAUCUCCUGGGCACAAUCAAUUAUGAUUUGAAACUACAUAUGCAAUUUGACAUCAGACAGACCAACAUCAGUAACUAGCAGGUUGAUUGUGGUACUAAACAGCAGAGGAACCAAAAAAAAGAGAGCAUAGCACCUGUCAAACAGCAAUUCUUCCAUCUGAUGCAGCUAGACACUAAAGACAUUACAAAGACAGCUGACCUCAUGACUUCCAUGAUCAGAUCACAGAGGAAACAAUAGGCAGAUGACAUCUUUGUGAAGAAUGGCCUAACGAUCUCACAAAGGGAAUUGCCUAACCAGAUAAUACUAUCAUUUUGCCAAGUUUCUGAGGAAGCCACUAUUGCUCCUGUGGUGGCUGAGGAAAUCCAUCGACAAUCUCCACAGGGUACCUAUGGAUGCAGUCCUCCCAUGGACCAUCUGGAGAGGGCUUGACACUACGAAGCGCCUGCCACACAGCACUAUUACACUUGAACCCACUCCCGAAGGCAAUCUGCCAAACACGGUGGCCCUUCCGCAUCCGCCCCUUUGCCUCAGUGUAAGCGAGCUCAUACCAGAUGGAGCUGGAGGAGGUGUUGCCAAACCUGUGAAGGGUCAUCCGGGAAGCCUCCACAUGCUCAGGCCGGAGCUGCAGAUUCUUCUCUAGCUCAUCGAUUACGGCCCUUCCGCCGGCAUGAAUGCAGAAGUGGUCAAAGGCAAGCUUGAAGUCCGGGAUAUAGGGCUUCACCUUGCCAUUGAAGAGCUUCUUGGCCACGAGGGUCGCGAAGAAGAGGAGUUGCUCGCUAAUUGGAAGGACGAGGGGGCCAAGGGUAGUGAUGUUGAUCUUGAGCGCUUCCCCAGCGAUGGCCAUGAGCUCCUUGGAGAGGGACACGCCGACCUUGCCAGCCUCGUCCUGCUCCUGGUACACGCAACGGAAGGCCUUGUCGUCGGCACCACGGUGCGUGCGGACGACAUGGACAAGCUUGUACCUGGCACGCCGGCGAUCCACCGUGCGGUUGGAGAGCAACACGGCGGCGGCGCCGACGCGGAACAGGCAAUUGGGGAUGAGCAUGGACUUGCGGUUGCCGAAGUACCAAUUCUGGGUGAUGUUCUCGGUGCUGACCACGACGGCGUAGGUGGAGCGGUGGACCUGGAGGAGAUCCCGCGCGAGGUCAAUGGAGAUGACGCCGGCACUGCAACCCAUGCCACCGAGGUUGAAGCUCUUGAUGUUGCCGCGGAGCUUGUAGCGGUUGACGAUCAUGGCGGAAAGAGACGGGGUGGGGUUGAAGAGACUGCAGUUGACGACGAGGAUCCCGACGUCCUUGGGCUUGACGCCGGUGUUCCUGAAGAGGGUAUCGAGGGCGCCGAACAUGACAUCCUCGGCUUCCUCGCGGGCGUAGGCCAUGGAGGGACGGGGCGGGAUGUAGUGCAGGGCGGAGGGCAGGCAGGUCUCCUGGCCGAGACCCGAGCGCUCGAGGAUCCGGCGCUGGAACUCGAGAGAGGACUCGUUGAACUCGCCGGAGAGCUGCGAGUGCUUCAUGAAGCGUCGGAAGGGAACCUGGAGCUUCGGCGGCGGGCGGUAGCAGGCGUAGUCAACGAGGUACACGGGGCGGGGCCGGGUCAUGAUGUAAACGGUGGCGCCAAAAACGAGAAAGGCGGAGCAGACCAAGACGCUGACGAGGUUGUACUGGAGGUGGAGCCACAACUGCCGGAGGUCGUCGGGUUCGGUCUGCGCGGCCUCCAAGAGGAUCACCACCAUCAGCGGGAUUAGCAGCAGGGCCAGCAGGUGGGUGAUGAGGUAGUGGUAGCCCAGCUUCACGUACUUGAUGUUCACGCUCUGCAAGAAGUCCGGCAGCCGCCGACUCUCCCGCCGCGGCAGCACCGGAGCUUGCUCAACCGCCGCCGCCGCUCCCCCUCCCUCCAUCCUUGCUGCUUUAGCCAAUAAGGUGUCUAAGGAUCUGAGCCAGAGAGAGAGAGAGAGAGAGAGAGAGAGAGGGAGGAAGGGCGAGGCGGACUCUCUCGAACCCUUCCCACCUGCCUUAUGGUCAAGCACGUCUUUGUUGGGAGCCAAACCAAGUAGCGGAUUAAAUAGGAGCAAAAGGACACUCAGCGUUCACCACCAUGGUGUUCGACAAUACGAGUGGUCUCCAAAGUCCCGCCCACAUGGAGCCUCUCCUCCCUCCCUUGCCCUCUCGUGGUCGCAGUGGGGGACAACCGAGUUGACGCCCCAACACGUUAAUCGAGGGGGGGGGGAGAAGAAGAAGAGAGACGGGAGGGAAAGGUGAUUCGAACCAUCACGUAGCAACGUGCACAGGCUGGCGGUCCCGCGUUUGUAGCCGACGAGAGGCAGCCCCGUUCGCGGAUACCCCGAACCACAAAUCCAAGCCGCGUGCCCUCGCGUCCCUCACCCGAGCCACCCGAAGAGACGCGACGCCACAUUAAACCCGCCCCCUUCCGGCCUUGAUCCAACACCGCGAGGAUCACAUCACCGUCGGUUGAUGCAACCUGUUGCACCGCCAGCGUACACGGGAAGUAACCAAUCGCACGACGCAAUACCAGGCUGAUCGAUUAGCAUAAUUAAGCAAUCAUUGGUCUUAUCGAUCGAGACCGAGACAAUCCGUCCCAGUUGCCGUAUUAGAUCAAGAGGGGAGUGUUGAUGCCAUCGGCCGACGCACAUGGGACCUGCUUAUUCUAAAAGGUGGAAACUUUGUGGAUCUCCGCUACUUAAUGGUCAAACUCCGUUGCUUCUCUAUCCAAUCAAUUAUUGAGAACGAAACUGACAAAGAUGACGUACAAAAGAUUUUACGUCAAUAAUAAUAAUAAUAAUAAUAAUUAUUAUUUCUCCAGAACCCACACUUGAUUUUAUACUAAAUUAAAAUCGAAUCCAUCUAAAUCGAGAUCCAAACCCAUCAGUAAUUUUAUAAUUUUUAGUCAAACUAAAGGUUUUCUAUUUGAUUCCAACUCCCAACUAUGUAACAAAGAAUUUAUGAUAUUUGGAACCAUCAUAAAACUAGUUUACAUUUUUUUAAUAAUUUAUGAUAUUGUUUUUUAUAUUUAGAGUGAAUGAUGAUAGCAAACCUUUCUGCCCGAGGGAUAGAUAGUGACUCGAGCAAUGAUUGAUGCUCCAUAAUGAUCUCCACAUGUACUUGAGACUGCAGCCCUAACUCUGCCAGCCAAAAUCUAGAAGCCCCACAAGAAGCUUCACCCCCACCGCCAGCCAAAAUCUAGAAGCCCCACAAGAAGCUUCGCCAGACUUGGUCUGGGUCAAUAACUGCUUAAGAAUCAAAUCUCACAUCAUAUAACCAUACAUUGGUCUUUCAGUAGAUCCAGCAGAGGCAUGUAAAAGAAGCUCCUUUGGUUUGAACUGUUCCGAAUGUUUUGUUUUGUCCAACUUAAGCCGGCCUUCUAAAACAAUGCUGACAUCCUCUUCCGGUUUUCUUCAGAAGAUGAAGCUGUCAUGAUGUUGACAUUAACAGUACUGAAAGCUUUUCGAAGAAGAGUUCAUCCUUCCCCCACCUAAUUCUGCGGCUUCUGCGUUGAAGACGAUCAUGCAUCGGAGCUUAUUAGACUGUCGAAGUGUUCUUCUACGUGUUCCUCCCCACCAAUAUAAACCUAGGUAAGCUUGCAUGGCCUUCUGCCAAACACCGUGAUGACUCCAUGCAAGCAUUGGAGGAGCUCCACCUAGCAUCAUAAAUAGGCACCUACUAGGCUUCAGGUGUGAGUUAGUGGAUCCAGUGGAGUAGUAUCAUCACCGGUUCUUUCAAGAUCAAAAGAUCAUGUCCUAGCACAUGUAUACUAUAAUUUUCUAAAGAUUGACUUGCAAUAGACAGAUUGCAAUCAUGAAUGAAAACCAAAUAUUAACCCAAAUAUUUACUGAUCAAACCCAUGAUUAGUCUAGUAUAUGUUGAUAGGAUCUUACUGUAUAAGGUCAUAUUGCAUGGCAAAGCAUUGAGCAUGUUCAAAGGUCAUGAAUAACUUAGGUAAUCUCCUAUCCUUAUUACUACAACCUAUGAACCUGUGAACCUCAAACCCAAUUUGAGUUCAUGCCACUGCAAGUUAGAUCAGUUGUGGCCGGGGACUCACAUGAUGAUAAUACAUGUCCCAACAUUUAUACACAGGUUUAAGUCCAAAUACAAGCCAACACCAGCAUACCUACUGCUUGUUGGUUUAGGCACAUGAGCAAGACAUAGUAUUAUCAUUGCGCUCGAACAUAUGUUUAACUAGACAUAAGAGUGAACGAGUGAUAUUAUCCAAACACUUAUACGUUUGACAUCAUCGUUUAUAUGUCGAUGUGUAACUUUUGUUGAUGUUAUGUCAUUGUCGGUGUAUCAUCCUAAAUAGGCUUGUCACUAACGUGUGGGCCCAACCAAGACAUUGAUAUGUCUAGGUUUAUGAUUCGCACCUAUAUCAAUAUUUAUAUGCCUUGGAUAUAUAACUAACUUAUAUAUACUAUUAUAUGCUAGCACAUGAGCUUGUAGUCCUAUAAAAUUUUUGUUACAAGAUUGGAAUUAGUUAUCAUAUUAGAUACCUAGGGUAGAUCACCAUAUUUUCAUUUUCUUUCUCUCAUAAUUGCAUUUGUUAGAAUAUAAAACUAUCGACAACUCAUAUAUAUAUAUAUAUAUAUAUAUAUAUAUAUACAUAUAUAUAUAUAUAUAUAUACAUAUAUAUAUAUAUAUAUAUAUAUAUAUACAUAUAUAUAUAUAUAUAUAUAUAUACAUAUAUAUAUAUAUAUAUAUAUAUAUAUAUAUACAUAUAUAUAUAUAUAUAUAUAUAUAUAUAGUUGUCCGAAGUACUUCAAAUAUGAAAAUGUCGAGUUUUCAAUAUCACAUACUCCAAAGAUUAAAGUUGAAAGAAGUUUUUCAACCCGAUCCCUUUAAUGUUCAAGUUAAUAACUUGGAGGUGUAUGAAUAUGAAAGACAGUAGUUAAAAAAAACUCGCCUUUUCAUUAUAUUAGAGAUAAGUUUUUACGAUCGUAAAGAAAUAUUCAAUAGAAUAUUUUAAGGGAAGAUAACCUAUAAAUGUCUCCAAUAGUGUCUCCUUGGCUCUUUGUCCAUGUGAGCGAAGGAAGGGGGAGGGUGACUUUAUCUUCUCCUUCCACCUUAGACACCACAUGACGGUUGUAUGUCAUAUAACGAUUAGCUGAUAGUGAUUCUCUUUAUCAUUUGUUCUACACCAAAGGCAUUUUUCAGUGCUCUUACCAAAGGGGUCCAAAGUGCAACAUCUAGUUCAUCUAGCACAUCGACCUCGUAUCUCUUUGAUCUAUUGUCGACUUGAUAGCAUGUUUAGUUCAUCCAUCAUGUCUAAUCCAUCAUGCAUCUCGCAUAGUCUGGAAUGAGUUUGUCCAAUACUUUCAUCUAAGAUCUCCUCCUCCAAUAUUAUUAGUAGUAAUCCAUUACUAACUUGCUCCUUGUAUCAUCGAGGAACAUGCAUUAGUUGGAUAAGGUUAGGUUUUUUGACCUCCACGCCUUAAGCAUAGGCAAGGUCAGACUUCUUAACUUCUUACGGAAUGUUGGAUGGUUGAUGAUGUCUUAUUAUUAGACAAUAAUUUCAUAGUCCCAAUGGUGCAUCUGGUCCUUAGAUUUGAGAUACCAGUGAUAUCCUAUAUGAGUACUAAAUCUAACACAAUUAGUUAUCGGGAGUGGCAGCCAACCUUCCGAGGACUAUUGAGUGUUGAUAGAGGAUCAUCAACGCUCGGUAUAAUGAGAGGAAUAUCUCAUGUGUUCUUGCUCAAACAAAUCCCUAGCUAGGGUCAUUCAGAUUGAGAGAGAAAGAGUUCUCUCGGAGAAUUCGAUUAAAGCGAGACUCGAGUAGAAACCAUAUGAGUUUGACAACACCAUGCCCGGUAUACGGUCUUUGGGAUAUUAGAUGGAUGAGAGACUAUAGGUAUAUGGUAACUGAGGAUAAACAUGCCCAAUGGAUUGAAUUCCUCUAUAUCGUCUAAGGACUACAACGUAAUGGCUUAGUACGUCCACAAUUGAUGAGUCAAGUGAAUUAUUAUGGAGAUAAUAAUUCACUUAUUCAGAAGAAGUUCUGACAGGUAUGACUCACUACCAGCUCGAUAUUGGGCGUAGAGAGUCACACACAUAUGAUAGGCAUUGCGAUGAGUAGAGAUUCGAAUAUGCGAUAUUUGUCGAAGCCCCUAUCUUAUUAGAUAUCCAGUAAGCCCUUGAAUUAUUCGAUCCUAUGGAUGAGAUCCAAUAAGAGCUAAUGAGAGAUUAUUAGAUAGAAAUCCACUAAUCUAAUAGGCUUGGGUAGUUGAAUGGAGAUCCAAUACCCAAUAGAGUAGGAUCCAUUAGGGUUAUGUUGAUAAGUGACCUCUAUAAAUAGGAGAGAAUUAAUGGUUCAUAGGCCAGAACCUCUUUUGGUUGUCACCUCUUAUUCUCCUCUCCCCUUCUCCUCUUGAGAUAGUAGGAUUGGAGACUUAAGGAGUAUCAUCGUAGUCCUGCUGUAUGGAUCACCACUAGAGUGGUGGAUGCUUGACCUCCUUCAACUAUUAAAAGAAUGGGCGAAACCGAGUAUCCCAAUUCUCUUAUCUAUCCAACAGAUGGGCUUUACAAAUAUUCAAAGACCAUUCGAAGAAACCAAAUGAAAGAUAAUAGUUGUUAAAUUCUCACCAAUGGUGAUCAAUGCUACUGAGAAUAGAUUAUCCGCUUCAUUUCCUAAGAGAAUGCCAAUCGAAAGUGGAAGCGAUGCGAACCUACUUGGAAGUGACAACUAAGUGAAAGAAAAGUCGAUAGACAAAUUUUGUGGAGGAAUGACCUAAAAACUUUAAAAGUUUGCAGUGUGAUGCUCAUUAAAACUUCAACAAGCAUCCACCCAGUUCAAGUAGCAUGAGGUAUUUAAGAGAUUAGCGUAUAAUAAGGAUGGUCUUUUCCUUUAUCUAAAGGAUUCGUAUGAACCAAUAGGAAUCAACACAACUCAGCCAACCCCAUAUUAGAGUCAAAGUCAAUGGUGAGUUGAAGCAGUAUGACGGAUCAAAAGUUCGACUACUCAAAAAUAGUGGCAAGGAGUAGCUGGGAGCCAGGAGGCAUAUUGUAGCUGGUACAAAAGAUUGAAGACUCAACAAAGAUAAGGAGUUAUAGCGACGGUAAAGGCUUCAACGAGGACAUCGAAGGAAUAAGUGGGGGAGAAUGUCAUGGACAAAAUUAUAAAUAGGAUGUUCGAUGUAAUGCUUAUGUAUGUUCAUGUCUGUUGGUUUGUUCAUGCUUUACACAAUAUGUAGAGGGAUGGUCGAAGGCUUAACAACCUCAUUUUAGUUAGGUUUAGUGGCUGUUUUAGGUUUGUAAAUAAAGGUUGUGUUAUGUGGACACUUAUGAGAGAUGUUCGGUCUGUAGUUGAUCAUUUUAGAUCCUUUGUUGUGUGACCGUUCAGAGCUUAUAAAGUAUGUUUAUAAUUUACAUUAGCUAUGAAGUAUUUUCUGAAAUGAUUGCUUAUAGAUCCCGAGUGAGGCACUUUCUCUAAUAUGUUUUCUCUUUUGUAGGUCCUAAGGGACCAUGGGAGGUUUCGAGGUGGUUGACCCUUGCGAAUGGACACACAAGGGUGUUGAAUCUCAGAUUUUGAUGAUGAAACUAAUUGAUUGUGUUUAGAUGUUUAAAAGCAUUUUGAGUGAUGCAGGUCUACUCGAUCAGGAUUAGACAGUUGACGCAGGAGGAAUUGACAUUGCGUCGGAGGAGAUCACGUCAGGAUAUUAGACGGCAGAAGGCUUCGGACGUCGGGCAUCGGGCCAAGGAGAGUGGAAUUGCGCCAAGGAUAUCGGGAUUGCAGAGGUCAAUCGUCGAUUGGGCAACAAGCCGCAAGAGAGGACGAUGCGCUAAAGAAUCAGACGAAGUGCCAACCAAUGACGUGCCGGGCAAAAGAAUGUCAAUUCACGUUAUAAUAAUUGUCUAGAUCGGAGUAGAGUUUUGGCUUAUGUGUGCAGGAUUAACUACGAUAACAAUGAAGACAUAAAGCGAAACAAAGUGCCAGAGUCAAGCGCGAAGGAUUCGUUGCGAGUUUGAGAGUUCGACGGAAGUCCAAAGGUUCGUCGGGAAUGCUGCCGGAACUAGCCGAGAAUGAGUAGGGAGCUUGCCGAAGGGUUUUUCGGAAGUUCACCGGAAGGUUCGUUGGAAGUUCGCAGAGCUCAAAGAGAAAGAUCGGAGCUUGCCGAAGAAGCUCGUUGGAACUCGCCAAGAUCAAAUCAUGAAGUCUAGGAGCUUGCCGGGAGUCCGCAUAAUGGCUUCCGAGAGUUUAUCGGAAGACCGUCGGAAGCUCGCCGGAAGAAGUCUUGACUUACGGACUUUGUAAUAGCUUAGAAAAUGUCUUUAAAUUCAUAGUUAGCACGUUAAUUAGGGUUAGGAUUAGGUGUUAAUCCUAUAACCCAAGUAUGGGCCAAUUGGGCCCGAGUUCGGACUGGUUUGGGCCAAGUUUGGUGCCCAACUAGUGAGCUGAAAUAGUGUAGGCGGUGGCACCGCCUAGAACCUGAGAACUGAGCGGUGGCACCGUCGGACUAGGCGGUGGCACCGCCAGUACACUGUCAGUGUCAGACACUGACAGGUGGUGGCACCGCCAGCCUCGGGAACCCAAGAGAAUUCAAAAUUUGGAGCCCAAAUUUGAAUCCUCUUGGGGCCUAUAAAUACCCCUCAAUUCUCAGCUGAGAACACAACCUUUGAGAAGCAAGAGAUUGAGAUAAAAGUCUUAGCAAAGUCUUUAGCAAGUUUUUGUUUUCAAUUGCUUGAGUGUUCACCUCCUUCUUUCUCUUUCAAAAUUUGUAAGAGAGUGAACCACUUGUAAAAGGUUGUAAGAGGGGUAUUUGUCCUUCCCCUUCAAAAUGAUUUGCUAGUGGAAGUUGGGAGCCUCAUCGAAGAAGGCUUCGUAAGUGGAUGUAGGUCGCAUGAUCGAACCACUAUAAAUCGGUUUGCGUUUAUCUUAUUGUCAUUUAUAUUACUGCAAACCAUCUUCACUUUGAUGCUCUACUUCUUUGUCUCCUUCUUACAUAUUCCUUCAAGUUAAAACGCAAUCGAAACGGUUUCAAACGAAACGUUGCUUUUAUCGUACGAAGUUUCUGAAAGUGUUUAAAUCGUCAAAAGUUUAUCGUACUUUACCGCUGCACUAAGUCACCCCCCUCUUAGUGCCACUCCGAUCCUAACAAAGGGUACCGUAUGGCUUAGUCAAAAUCAAUUAAGUCCAUGACAGAUUGGGUUUCGGAUUCAGGCAGGGAAGUGUGGUACAUUGAAUUUUACGAUCGGGGACCAAAUUGCCCCCUUAGUUCGAUAGGUCUCAAGUGCUCAUAGGAUGUCAACCCCACAUCGGGUGGGGGAAACCUUGAAGGGUGUCGGUGUUGGUAGUGGUUAAGUCAAUGAUCGCGGUUGAGUUGGUGGUGUAGCUUGUUGGGGUAACUAGGGCAAAAGUGGAACGAUGAUCUGUAUCAUGCUUGUUAGGGUUUGCACUUACUAGAUGAGAUUCCAUAACACAUCGACAAGGAUGAGAAUAUGGCUAGGGGUCAUCCUCGGGGGUGAGAGGCCUAAGUCAUUGAAUAAAUGCCAAUAUCAUAUCAAUGUUUGUGCCGAGGUAGAUGCAUCUAUAUGCGGAAAGGGUGAUUGCUGCUCCUAUUGAGUAAAAGUACUAUGAGUCGAAGGUAAAGUCUCUUCCCUCGAGCGUUUAUUGAAAAGGUCGAUGGGCGAGAAUUCAUAUAACAUCGAAUCCUCCUUCUAGCACCAAAACAAUGAGAGAAGAAAUCAUUAACAUCUUGGUUAGCUCGACGUGGUUUGAACUCGUAUGCACAGGAUUGUCCAAAGUGCCUCCGAGGUAAAAAUGUCAAGUUUUCAAAAUGUCACAUGUACGAAAAUUGAGGUCGAAAAAGAUUUUCCAAUCCGAUCCCUCCAAUACCCAAGUUAGUAACCUAAUGUGUAUAAGUGUGGACACUAAUAGUCAAAAAAACGAAAACCCACCUUUUUUAUGUUGGAGAUAAACUUUUAUAUCUAAUUAUAAAUAGAUAAAAUAUUUUAUAAAAUAUUAUACAAGACAAUCUACAAUUGCCUCCAACAAAUUUUCUUUUGUGACAUUUACUAUAAAUGACAUACUUUCUAUCAACUUUUAUCAUAAAUGAUCGAGAGAAUGAAGUCUAUACUCUCACAAUUACAUCUCUAUCAUUCGUCUAAAAUAAAUAGAAUACAUAUGUGCAAGACUUGCACGGAUUAAGCACAAACACAAUACACUACACAUACAAACGAUAGUUGACAUUAGGAAAAAAGAAACUACGGUUGCAAUAUAUGACACGAAUUCAAGAAUAUGGUUCUUAUGACAUGACUUUUUCUUUCAAUAUUUCAUAGUCAAGUAUAGAUAAUUUUCAUCAAACUAUUAACUUAUAUUUGGAUCCAACUCGAAUUGAUUUGAGGUUAGGUCAGAUAUUGUUAAUCAUUUUUUCUGGAUUCAGAAAUAUAUAAAACACAAACAAAUCAUAUGAAUGUUUAAAUUGCAUAAGCAGAGAAGAAAAUUAAGGGGAACAAAUCAUUGGGCAAAAAUUGCCUUCCGAAAAUAAUAUUCCUCAGAUCGGACUAGAAAAGAUUCCAAAUUCACCGCCUGGGUUUGAGUCUGCCUUGGGGAUCACCAAUCACAGAGAAGCACCGGCCCGCGCCGCCUCUCCCUACCAUUGGAACAGUCGAGCACUUGGGAUGGACCACAGCGUCGCGAUCGUGUUUCUGCCACGAGGCCGAGGCGCGGGACACCGGCCCGCGGUGGCCUUUCCUCCGGAACGGAUAGAAAUUCCAAGGGUUCCGUGGUCGCUGGGCCUUCUUCUGGUGCUGUUACUUGACAGGGAUGAACGUGCAGUACAAAAUUGAAAGAAAGAAAUAAGAGAGCACAGAAAUGCACCGUGUUAAUUCCUAGAAUUGCUGGAACUUUCUUCCAAGUCUGCUUCACAGAAAAACUCGAAUUCCACCUCUACCACAGAACAUGAUUGACCACAAGUCGUUCCACUCUGCAGAACCACCACAUUUUGAAUGAUCGACAGCCGUUCAUUCCAGUUGCCAACGAAACACUAAUUGUCAACAAACGGGAAGUCAUCUGCUACAAUCCUCUCAAAUAAGUAAAAGAGAAAUAAAGAGAAUAAAGGGCUUAAUAGAUUCAAUUGAUCUAUUUAAGGUGGCAUGCUGUCCAUAAUCAGAAGAGAGGAACAUACAAACCUUCCAUAGUCUCUGUUUCCAUGGCCUCCGGUGCUCCUGCAGAAUCGCUUGGAGGCCAAGUGAAGAAGAGAGCUUUCGUAACAUUCCUGGCAGGGGACGGCGACUAUGUGAAGGGAGUGGUAGGGCUGGCAAAAGGCCUGAGAAAGGUGAAGAGUGCUUACCCUUUGGUGGUGGCGGUGCUGCCCGAUGUGCCCGAGGCUCACCGCCGAUUGCUUCAAGCCCAGGGCUGCACUGUUCGGGAGAUCGAACCCGUUUACCCGCCUGAGAACCAAGUGCAGUUUGCCAUGGCUUAUUAUGUCAUCAACUACUCCAAGCUGCGGAUUUGGAAUGUAAGUGAGCCAAAACGAUACUUCUUUAGGUUGUCAUUCAUGUUCCUUUUUUCCUUUCUCUUCGGGUAUCUAUAUGGAGGAAGCUGAACCCUACAGAAAGUUACGCAAAUGAUGUCUAAUUAAUGAUGAUGACUCCUUGGUUGCUGCUAAUUGCAGUUUGUGGAGUACAGCAAGAUAAUAUAUUUAGAUGCAGAUAUCCAAGUGUAUGACAACAUCGAUCACCUGUUCGACAUGCCCGAUGGCUACUUCUAUGCAGUGAUGGACUGCUUCUGCGAGAAGACAUGGAGCCACUCUCGACAGUACUCAAUUGGCUAUUGCCAGCAGUGUCCGGACAAGGUGGCAUGGCCUGCUGAGAUGGGAUCCCCUCCUCCGUUGUACUUCAAUGCAGGGAUGUUUGUAUCUGAACCAGCUCGACCAACUUACGAUGGCCUUCUUGAGACUCUUAUGACAACACCUCCAACUCCCUUUGCGGAGCAGGUGAGUCCUCCAACUGGGUUAAAUUUUUUGGAGUUUGAUACAAAAUAUAGAACAGGAUUAUUUACAUAACUAAAAAAUUCUAGUAAGAUAAGGAGAUAAGUUAGUGGACCAGAUUAGAAGAACAUUCUCGCAAACAGAACUUUGAGUUGAAACUUGAAAGAUCAAGAACUAGACAUGCAAAUGAAACAAUCUGAUAGUCCAACCGUAACAAUAAUUAGAACAAAAACACAGUUCAUUUAGUUAUUCUACUUAAUUAAUUUCUACUUCUAGGUAAACACCUGAGAUAUUACAAAAUUAACCCACUCCAGGUAGGUAACAAAAUUAUGAACCAUGCAAAUCUGGAAACAGGUUAACACAUGCUUUCAUUAUGUAAGAUCCACACAAUCAUUAUCCUAUAACCAGCAUCUUGCUCCAGUCCCUAAAGAGAUAGGAGUCUUUCUAACCUUGGACAUAGGGAAGUACCGUUAAGUCAGCAAAACUAUACAUUUUUUCUUAUUCAACAACUACAUGUGGCAUAAAAAUUGACCAUAUAUUCUCUACAUCCUGCCUUAUCUCUUGCGACUGGUGCAAAUAUUCCUUACAGCUAAUGUUGUUUAUAGAGAUUAUGAAGCUAGGGAAUGUGACAAUUAUGACAAUGACAUCGGUGGUUUCCUUGCGUAGAGUUAGCAUCGACAGUUUUUCUUAUCUGACAAAUAUGAGGAUAACUGGAAUUCGAUUUAGUCUAUUGGAAAAUAUUAAGAACCAUGUAUUUUUCACUCUAUUUCUGACCUCAUUUUUGUAGGACUUCCUGAACAUGUAUUUCGAGAAAAUCUACAAGCCAAUUCCGCUCAUCUACAAUCUGGUUCUAGCCAUGCUAUGGCGACACCCUGAAAAUGUUGAGCUUGAAAAUGUCAAGGUGGUCCACUAUUGUGCCGCGGUAAGUGCUACAUUAGUCACUUAUCACAAGUACCAGCAUCAUAAUCCAACAUUCCACAAAUUAAUAUUGUAUUUAUCGACCUGCUGUUGCUUUCCAAUGAUGGUGAUAUAGGGUUCCAAGCCUUGGAGGUACACUGGAAAGGAAGCUAACAUGGACAGGGAGGAUAUUAAGAUGUUAGUAGCAAAAUGGUGGGGUAUUUACAAUGAUAAGUCUCUUGACUUUGCUGCAGAGGAUGCAGUCCCAGAAGGAGAGACCUGCUUACCUUCUUCGAUAAUGGUGGCCAUGUCAGAAAACAAUAUCAACUACAUCUCUGCACCCUCUGCUGCCUAAGACAGAAUAAGGGGAGGGAAACAAGAGCAACUAUGAAAGAUAUAAAGAAUAUGAUAUGAUUCUAUAAACACUCCACCUUUCAACACCUAUCAGUAGCUAACCAUAGCAUCCUCUUGAUCAUGAGGUUCCCUGUAGUUUUAUCCCUUGAUUAUAAAAUCUAUAGCAGCCUUAACCACUUAUUUUCCCAUUGUCCGUUUCUGAGUGUAGGCAUAUCUAUGCACCAGCAAAGUAGUAAAAGUUAAAGCUCGUAAGGUGACAAAAUGCGUUGCUCUAUGUUUCUAGAUCCAUAUAUAUAUAUUGUAAGCUUCUCUUUAUAUAGAAGAUAACUAAUUGGUUCAGUUCCCAUACUUGAUGAGCUUCUUUUCUGUUGGAAUAAAAAACGUUCUAGUUUAUAAGAAUGCCAAGCAUUACACUUAAACAAGAACAUUCAAAAGAACCACCUCUGUUACCGUCAUUAUGGAAGGAAAGGAAACCUUUUCAUUGAUUUUGAAUGAAGAAACAUGUGAAUAGUGAAAAAUAAGGAACUCUGUUUCAAAUGCUAUUGAUAAAUGCUAUCAAACUCUAGCCUCGGUUUUUUACUUGAAGCUACUUCAUGGACUGGUAUUUGUUCCAAGUUAAAUAGUUCAAAAAUGAAAAGCACCGAUUAGUUCAGGUACCACAAAUAUCGGGGUUGUACCAUAGGACGAAUCCAGGGGGAACAAUCUUCACAAAGGGGCCACGCAUCCUCAUGGCAGAGCAAAGUUUGCUUCGUUAGACUCGAUUUCUAACUUAUAUUUAAAUGUCUACUCUUACUACAACAUUGAUUGCAUGAUUUAAAUCUUUAAUUCUCCAACAACCUUUUGAUAGGAUGCUGAAAUAUCAAAGUGUCAAUUUCAGAUCCCACAAACACAGCACUGGCACUGUCAUUGAAGCACAUUGUUCUAUGAGCAACUAAGGUUCUUGCAUUUUUUGAUGGCUUCAUAUAUCCAUAUGUCAUGUAAAUCGAUCAACAUGAAAACACUUCCAAACAAUAGUAACUCCUAAUCGAAGCCUAAACCAUUCCCGUAAUUUGCUCAUUGCCCCCUAAUCACCAAAUAUACUUCUCAAAUGUGACCUAAGCCUUUGCAAAGGUUCAAGAAACAGAACGGACUCGCCUCGAUGGGCCAAGGCUUAGCCCGACCAAGAUGGUCAUGUUCCGCAGUUGCUAACACCUUAUCUUCCCUGACCAAGUGAUGGGUUUGGGCAACUCGAUUGCAAUCGCAGGGGGCUGCUAAAUUUCGGCCGGAAAAGAACAAACUGUCGUUUCGACAAUGAUACCAAUCGUCAAAAACCCUUCUCAACCAUGACGACAAGAUCAAAGGAGUUGGAGAUAGGGCAUCAGAACUACUCUUCCUUCCAAGAAAUCGAAUGUAAAUGAGUUAGAUACGACAAGGGAAAAGUCAGAACUGAACCUUCUAAAGAGGCCGAGGAGGAUAAGGCCGACCAGAUUCCGAUGUGUGCCGGUGGGGGUGAGCGGGGUCGGAUGGAAGAUGAGAUCGAGGCGACCGACGCCGAUGGCGGGAGGAGCGGCAAAGUCUCGAUGGUUUCCUCGAUGUCACGCGAUAUAUAACGGUGAGGAAACCUCCUUUAUAAUCCAUGUUAUGUACAACAUAUGUUAUCUUUAUUGUAUCGGCUGUUAUAAUGACGAUAGGGGAAGUGUCCGCGAGAGGUUCUAUUGCGCACAUGGUGCGUGUCGCCCGGCUCACGCCGGGUCCACACGAAGACUAAUCAUAAUAUCUGUUUUCACCGUGGGACCCAAUACCAGGUCUGGUUCGGAAGAUUCCUUCACCCGCGUGCGACAGACACGUGUGCGCACUGUAAAGUUUGCUUCAUCUCCUUCGACACUCAACCUAGAGAGAGAGAGAGAGAGAGAGAGAGAGACGGGUGACAUGCUUCGACUGCUCGUGCAGUGAACUGGUAAUCUCUCUAUAAAUGGGGCAGUAGUGUCUUUGGUGUAAACAAUCAUGUUAUCAUCUCUAUAAAGCCUUGCAACCACCUCCUUCACCAUUCCCAUCCCCAUAUCUCCUGUUACACUCCCUGCGUCGUUCCCCUUUCUUUUAUCUCUCCUCUUCCCUCCUCUUCCAUGGACGGGAAAGGUAACAGCAACAUGAGUAACAAGAGCGUGAACAGCGGCGAAGAAGCCGACGUCAGGAAAGGGCCGUGGACCAUGGAGGAGGACCUCAUCCUCGUCAACUACAUAGGCAACCAUGGCGAGGGCGU
Molecule: long non-coding RNA, 81779 nt
Filed under: Musa acuminata (dwarf banana)
Lineage: Eukaryota; Viridiplantae; Streptophyta; Magnoliopsida; Zingiberales; Musaceae
Description: long non-coding RNA (MACU_LNC003531)
Source: RNAcentral